Molecule: long non-coding RNA, 57462 nt
Filed under: Triticum aestivum (bread wheat)
Lineage: Eukaryota; Viridiplantae; Streptophyta; Magnoliopsida; Poales; Poaceae
Description: long non-coding RNA (TAES_LNC027719)
Source: RNAcentral
UUUUUUUUUUUGUCCUAGUUUUUUUAUUUCUUGUUGUUGUAUUAUAUAUUUGUGGGAGGUUAGAUGUGACAUUCUUAAAAAACAUCUAGAUGUAAAUUAGACAAACUGCUUUCUUUAAGCCCACUAAAGUAGCCGGCACAGCCCCAAUGCCAACCUCUUCUCGCAAAAAAUAAAUAAAGAAUGCCAGAUCUUCCAGUGCUCUCUUCUCCUCCUCGAUGGAGAACAGCGGGGGUAUGCUUUUGCUCACUCUCUCCUCGCACUGUCUCCCCGAUCCACCUGGGAGCCACCUGCACGCGUCCGACUCGCUCUCCUUUGCCUCAGCUCGCCGUCCUCCUGCUGUCGCUCAGUGGGGAGACCACUACCAUGCCGCUCGCUCUCCUGCCGCCGACCUCCUCUCCUCCCAGAUCUCUACAGAGUGCCUCCUCCUGGACGACCCCGCGUGUGCGGUGCCCGCCGCUUCACACAUCAGCGCCGCCACCUUGCUGCCAUCCCGGAGAGCCUCCCGACAGCCGUCGCUGGCCUCCCCAUUCUCCCCCGCGCCUGGCUUCCCCGCCUCGCCCUGCUUCCGUUAUGCCGCCUCCGCGCCAGCAAGUCCCGACACCGGCGAGCCACUUCCCUUUGGGUGAUGCGGUGCUCCCGUGUAUGCACCUGUGGCGGUCCGGCUGGUGCUGGGAUUAGGCGCGCACUGCAGCCUCGGCUACAAUUUUUAACUGGUUAGUCCUCCUUUCCGCUCAGCUCUCUUGUGGAUAUUUAAUCUUUUUGGCUACAAUAUUACUGUCAUUCAGGACCUUUAAUCUUUGUCCUAGAGGAUAUGUUGCUUGGCAUGGGCUGCAAUUAUAAUAAGAAAAAUCAUAUACAUGCAUGAAUCUCUAAUUGGUAGGCCCUCGUAUUCAAGACAGGCAGAGCACGGUGUGGCUGCUAGGACGCCCGUGAACAGGAAUCUGUGCUUGCGGCGGAGGCUCAGAAGAACAACUCUAGCAGGCGGCGCGGUGGAGCAGUGACGGCUACGCUCACCGGUGGUGGCAAGGCGUGGAAAACAAAAACCGUGAUUUCAGCUCUUUGUGCACAUACCUCAAGUGUAGGAUCGGACGACAAAUUUCCGGUGAACUAUGAAGCACUAUUGGAAGCCAGCAUGUUUUCUGUCGAAGUCUAACAAGGCGACAUUGGACGGUCUUCUGGCGAAGUAGGCGGAGACAACAUUGGACAUAUUUUGUCGGACGUCAUCUUGUUUCCUGGCGAAGUCUGCAGAGGCGACAGUGGGCGGACUACCAGCGAAGGUGGACAUAAUUUGUCGGAUGACGUCUUGCUUUCCGGCGAAGUCCGCGGAGGAGACAUUGGGUGGACCUAAGGCGAAUUUGUGAUGCAAUUUAUAUGAAUUUCUGGUCGAGCCUUACAUCUUAUAGCAGCGGAUUCUGUGCGAAAUCCUGCCGUAUUGGAGUUGGACAGGAGUAAAAGAAAAUACGGCUGAUUGGCUGGAGACAUACGUGUGAACGGACGAGCGAGGUCCUAAGCUCGAUCCCACCUCACGCCAGUUUUUUUUUUUUUUUGAGAACUCACCUCACGCCAGUUUUUUCAAUGUAAUAUAUAGGAAGCACACUAAAGGCCCCUAAUAAUACUUUUGGCCCAGGUUUGUAUCUGUACCAAGCAGGCUGAGGCCUAGGCACCGGACGCAAAAUUUAGAUCGAUCAGCGUUUAGUACCACCUUGUAUGUGGUGGACAGACCGCGAGUACGUGACCGAAUUUUUUCUUUUUUGCGAGUACGUGACCGAAACUAAUGGAAAAAAUUAAUCGCAGAACGAAACCAGGAAUAUCACCUUACUUUAAUAGUAGGUAUAGAUAUAGAUAUAGAUAUAGAUUAACUCUAUUUUGAUGCAACUAUUCCGCGCAUACAACUAUUCCGCGCAUACUACGGAGGCGGUCGACCAAACGCGAACCCAAGGGCCCUAUUAGCAAAAAUGGUAUACACACGGGCACAUGUAUUAUUUUUCAACCUAUUUUAAUGCAUUGAAGCAUGUGCUUAUAAUUCAAAUUUAAAUGUCUAGAAAACUUAAUUAAUGUAUAAAAAGCCAAAUUAACCCUGAACAAUUCUAUUUUUCAACACAACACUCAUAUUUGUCUAUGCUGCCUGUAGGAAAAAAUCUAAGGCAAGAAGAGGCAACGAAUGUCUGUUUCGCCCACAAGGGUGACACUUUCCCUAUCACAAUCACGAAACUUCUUGUGUGAAAUUCCGAUUUGUAAGAGGCUUGUACUAAAGUUUGCCUUAAAUUGGACAUGUUUUUUUUGAACAUCAGUACAGACACAAGCGCUCAUAUACACGCGCAUACACUCAGCCCUAUGAACGCACACACGCACACCCUAUCCCUAUGAACACCUUCGAAAGACUGAGCCCACAUAUCAUCUAGAAAUUUACGAAGUCACCGUAGGCACCUCGUCGUCGACGGGAACGUCUCCUCCAACUGAAUGCGCAUCAUCGAAAAUCCUGAAAUAAAUCCAGGAAUAAAUGCGAGCAUCAGGAUUUGGACCCUGGUGGGCUGGGGAUAUCACAGUCCCUCUAACCAUCCAAUCACAAAUUGGUUCGCAAUUGAACAUAUUUUUUACCACAACAUAUAUGUGCCAUGUCAUGACACCAUGCCAACUUUCAUGAAUUUAAUGAAAUUUCAAUCUAUGGGGAUUUAAAACCAAAAAUUAUCAAUGUUUGAGGCCGAGCCAGGACAUCAAGAUGUUUGUAGUUCAUACCCUUUUUUGCGUUAGACCUAAACAUGCACCGAAGGACACAUAUAUAAUUUUUAACCCAUGUGCUUGCAGUUUAAAUUUGAAUUAUGCAUAUUAAAUGCCUAGAAACCUGAAUUAAUGUAUAAAAAGUCCAAAUGAACUCUAAAUAAUUUCAUGUUAUAGCACAACACUCCUAUUGGUCUACAUUGCCUGUAGAAAAAAAUUCAAGGCCAGAAGAGUCAGCAAAUGUCGUUUCGCCCAUAAGAUUAACAUGUUUCCUAUCGGAAACACGAGUCUACUAGGGAAGCUCCGUUUUGUAAGAGGCUUGUACCAAAACUUGGCCCAAAUUGGAUUUUUUUUUACCACGACAUAUAUGUGCCAUGUCAUGACACAAUGACAAGUUUCAUGAUUUUCAAGCAAGUUUUGGAUUUACAGGAUUUAAAAACCAAGUUUCUCAAUGUUUGAGGCUGAGUCAAGACACCGAGAUAUUUGUAAUUCAUUCUCAUUUCUUGCAUAGUACCUAAACAUGCACCCAAAGACACAUAUAUAUGAUUUUUCAACUCAUUUUGAUGCACUGGAGCAUGUGUUUGUAGUUCAAAUUUGAAUUAUACACAUUAAAUGUCUAGAAAACUCAGCCAUAAUGUAUAAAAAAGGCCAAACAAACCCUAAAUAAUUUAAAGCAAAAAAUUCGGGUCAACCGUCUGGCACCCAUGGGUGACCAUUGUGUGCACGCGUCGUGCUAGCUCGCGCUUCCUUUUUUCAUAAAUUUUCUAUAUUAAUGGUGUUAUAUAUCCAAACAUGCUACCGUUUCCCGCCAUUUCUCCAAUCGGUUUUCCGCCACUCCUCCUUUUUUUGAGAAGAACAUGCCACUCCUCCCAUUGGUUUUCCGCUGCCAGUAUCAUUGGCCAUAGAAGACUAAGCGGUGACACACCAGCCAUACCGCAGUAUACCAUUCCAAGCAUGCCAAUCCAGCGAAGAGCCGCCCUCCUCAUCAACCUCCUCGAUGAGGAGAACGAGCCGAAGCAAGCCAGAGAGCAAGAACGGCCAUGCGCCGGCGAGCAAGAGCGGCAUUGCGCCACCGAGCAUGAGCAGUAUCAUCGCGCCCAGUGCUUGAGCGGGCCAAUAUCUACACAUGUGUUCAUUGCCACUCAUGGAGCGGAGCAGAGCAAGAGCGGCAAAGCGCUGCUGCGCAAGAGCAGGAGAACGCCGCCACGCAUUAGGUGCGGUGCACCGCACUAUUUGAGCGGAGCCAUGUCAGCACCCAGUUGAGUCAACCACUUGAGAUUGCACACAGUUUCUAAGAGCACAAACGUGUGUGAUAGUAGGAAGUAGGUCCCACACGAUGACCAUCGGGAAACACUUUAAACACGAGGAGGUAACACUUAUCAGCAAGGUUUAGGUUCCCACCCGCUAGCUGAGUCGAAUAGAACACACAGGUUAAGCAUGCUGGGGCUGGAGCAGUCUAAGGAUAGGUGACUGGGUGGGAAGUAUCUAUACCUCAAGCUUUAUUUAGGCGAUGUGAUACCGUCAUUACAGACAUUUAGCUUCUAAUGUGUUUAUAGUGACCUGUCAUGUCGAUUACAUAAAGCUUGAGAUCCUUGUUUUGAAAAAUUGGAGAAUCAUUUUUUAUGUGUUGUUUUCAAAAAUUGGAGAAUGAUCGAGGUCUGUGGGUCCGCGCAAUCUAUCCAUUUGACCCACAACGUAUGAGAAGGGUUUAACCAUGACGGGUUCCCCUUGGUCUAUGUUACGAUAGGUCAUGGUGGCAUGUCAGACCAAAUUAAGUUUGAGCACAUGGUUGGAUUCCCUCCCGCCGGCUUGGAGUUGGGGAACCGGCACCGUAUGUCUUGAACCAUCUGUCUUCCUAGGGGUACGGUGUUCGGUUUGUAAUGCAGCUGGUGCCCCAUCAAAAUUGUGCAUUGGGGAUUUUAACACCUCAUGCUACGUAUACAUAUAUUCGGGCCACAUGCAGGGUAUAGGUCUUCUGCUCGACCCCGUCUCCCUUGUGUGGUGAUCGACGACACACCUAUCUGCGGGCCCUUUUGGUCUAUAAUUUAUUUGACCAACAACAAGAGGGGGUCAUGGUGACAUGUCCGAGAAAAUUUCGAGCUCAUGCGUUCUCAGGAUUCCCUCCCACACGCUCGAAUUGGUGGCAUGGAUUGACACCUUACGUAUGUCGUUCUUAAUUACCUAGCUUUCAUGGGGUUGUCCGGGUCAUGAGCUAGGCACCCAUUAGAAUUGUACUUUAUUGGGUAUUUAAAGCACAUCACCCCUACCUACGUACAUAAUGGGCCGCAUGCAGAUGGUGCUGGUUUUCUGGCCCCUCUCGUUCAGUUUUAUGAUGGUCCAAUCUGUGGGCGCGCGUGGCCUAUUAUAUCCCUUUUUGACUGACAGCAAUAGUGGACGUUUGACCAAGAUAGAUUCACUUGGUCCGUGUUGUGGUAGGUCAUGAUGACAUGCAUGUCCGACCAAAGUAUGAGUGCAUGCGUCCCACCGACACAAAGUGGGGGUGGGGCAGGCACCCUACGACCUUAUAACCUGUCAUUAUAGAUAUCCAAGGGGGCUUUCUGGUUUACCAGGUUGGUGCCACAUUAAAGUUGUGCAUUGUGUGUUUAAACAUCACACCAUCCUUUUAUUCCUACAUAUAUUUGGCCACCUCCAGGUGGUGGUGGUCUUUUGGCCCCUCUCAUCUGAUCUUGGAUGACGCGCCUACCCGUGGGCAUGCGCAAUCUAUCCCUCAGGACCUUAUGUCAUGAACCCUUUUCUGUCGCACCGAACACUUUUAUGCAUGCAUAUAUAUGCAUCACGUGCCACAUCAAAGUUGUGCAUUGGGAAUUUAAACAUCACACAUCACCUUUUUCAUGGUGUGGUUGUGUUCUGACCCUCUCUGAAGUUUUUUUGGCAUUUUUGUUGUUUCCAAAUGGUGGUAUAUAAAAUAGCAGACAACUCAGAUGAAACAACUAUCUAUGAACGUACGUGCAACGGACACGGAUGCACCGGAUUAACCGUGUGCGAUGCUCGUGCCCUGUAAAAUCGCCACGACUUCACAAGCGCCAGCAAGGGUAAAGGGGUAAUGUGUACAGGAUAUUUAGGAUGAAUUCCAUGUCUGGGCCUGAAAAUUAGGACGAACCAUGUGUGGAUAACCAACUAGCUAGAAAUAUCAAAAAGCUACCUACCUUGAGCAAUGCAAAAAUUGGCUAUUCGUGGCUUUUCCUUAUUAUCAUACACAAUUAUUAUGCUUGGACCGUGUGCGAUGUUGGUUGCUCCCGCCUGUUGGAAAUAUGCCCUAGAGACAAUAAUAAAGUGGUUAUUAUUAUAUUUCCUUGUUCAUGUUAUUCGUUUAUUAUCCAUGUUAUAAUUGUAUUGACUGAAAACUCAAAUACAUGUGUGGAUACAUAGACAACAACAUGUCCCUAUUGAACCUCUACCGGACUAGCUCGUUGAUCAAUGAUGGUUAUGAUUUCCUAGCCAUAAACAUGAGUUGUCAUUUGAUAACAGUAUCACAUCAUUAGGAGAAUGAUGUGAUGGACAAGACCCAAACUAUAAACGUAGCAUAUGAUUGUAUCAAGUUUAUUGCUAUCACUUUCAUCAUGUCAAGUAUCUAUUCCUUAGACCAUGAGAUCGUGCAACUCCCUGGCAUCAUAGGAAUACUUAGUGUCUAUCAAAACGUCACUUCGUAACUAGGUGAUCAUAAAGGUGCUCUACAGGUAUCUCUGAAGGUGUUUGUUGGGAUGGCACGGAUCGAGACUGGGAUUUGUCACUCCGUGUGACGGAGAGAUAUCUCUGGGCCCUCUCGGUAAUACAACAUCACAAGAAGCUUGCAAGUAUGUGACUAAUGAGUUUGGUCAUGGGAUCUUGUAUUACGGAAUGAGUAAAGAGACUUGUCAGUAACGAGAUUGAACUAGGUAUGGAGAUACCGAUGAUCGAAUCUCGGGCAAGUAACAUAUCGCCGGACAAACGGAAUUGUAUACGGUAUUAACUGAAUGCUUGACAUCAUGGUUCAAUAGAUAAAGAUCUUCAUGGAAUAUAUAGGAAUCCAUAUGAGCAUCUAGGUCCUGCUAUUGGUUAUUGACUGGAGAGGAGUCUCGGUCAUGUCUACAUGAUUCUCGAACCCAUAGGGUCGCACGCUUAACAUUCGGUGGCGCUAGGGUAGUAUUGAGAUAUUAAUAGUGGAAAGUCCGAAGGUUGUUUGGAGUCUCAUAUGGGAUCCCGGACAUCACAAGGAGCUCCAGAAUAGUCCGGAGGUAAAGAUUCAUAUAUGGAAAGUUGUUAUCGGGGUUUCAGAAAAAGUUCGAGUUUUUUUGGUAUUUUACCGGGAAGGUUCUAGAAGGUUUCGAUUGGGGCCCACCUGCAUGGGGGACCCACAUGAAUGUUGGUAGUGGGGAAUGUCCCCACAACCUUGUUUUAGGCGCACCAAGAUCCUCCCUUAAAAGUAAUAGUAUAAUAUCCCAAGGGGAUAAGAUCAGGAUCUUUAAAAAGGGGGGAUAGCGAUCGAUAGGGAAGGAAAGGUGGGAUUUCAUUCCUCCCCUUUGGCCAACGACCCUAGGACCUUGGAGGAAAGCCACUAGCCCCCUCCACGCAUAUAUAAAGGUGGGGAGGUGUUGGGGUCAGCAACCCUUCGACCCUGAUACGUCUCCGUCGUAUCAACUUUUCCUAAUGCUUUUCCUCUUGUUUUGGACUAUAACUUGCAUGAUUUGAAUGAAACUAUCCCGGACUGACGUUUUUUUCAGUAGAACUACCAUGGUGUUGUUUUUGUACAUAAAUGAAAGUUCUCGGAAUGGCACGAAACUUUUUGGAGAUUUUUUAUGGAAUAAAAGAAANNNNNNNNNNNNNNNNNNNNNNNNNNNNNNNNNNNNNNNNNNNNNNNNNNNNNNNNNNNNNNNNNNNNNNNNNNNNNNNNNNNNNNNNNNNNNNNNNNNNNNNNNNNNNNNNNNNNNNNNNNNNNNNNNNNNNNNNNNNNNNNNNNNNNNNNNNNNNNNNNNNNNNNNNNNNNNNNNNNNNNNNNNNNNNNNNNNNNNNNNNNNNNNNNNNNNNNNNNNNNNNNNNNNNNNNNNNNNNNNNNNNNNNNNNNNNNNNNNNNNNNNNNNNNNNNNNNNNNNNNNNNNNNNNNNNNNNNNNNNNNNNNNNNNNNNNNNNNNNNNNNNNNNNNNNNNNNNNNCCAAGUGGAUUGUGCCCACCUGGUGGCCCCGCAGACCCUGGUUCCAAUGCUACAAAAUCCUAUUUUUCCAAAAAAAAUCGGGGAAAAAGAAUUAUCGCGUUUCACGAGAUGAAGCCGCCGCCACCUCCUGUUCUUCAUCGGGAGGCCAGAUCUGGAGUCCAUUUGGGGCUCCGAGGAGGGGGAUCUUCGAUCUUCGACAUCACCAACCCUUCUUCAUCGCCAAUUUCAUGAUGCUACCCACGGGAGUGAGUAAUUCCUUCGUAGGCUUGCUGGUCGGUGAUGAGUUGGAUGAGAUUCAUCAUGUAAUCGAGUUAGUUUUGUUAGGGCUUGAUCCCUAGUAUCCAUUAUGUUCUGAGAUUGAUGUUGCUAUGACUUUGCCAUGCUUAAUGCUUGUAACUUUGGGCCCGGGAGCCAUGAUUUCAUAUCUAAACCGUUUAUGUUAUCACCAUUAUAUCUAUGUUCUAGAUCCGAUCUUGCAAGUUAUAGUCACCUAUUACGUGUUAUGAUCCGUAAACCCCGGAGUGACAGUUAUCGGGAUACUUUCCGAUGAUGGUCGUAGUUUGAGGAGUUCAUGUAUUCACUCAAUGCUAAUGCUUUCUUCCGUUUCUCUAUUAAAAGGAGGCCUUAAUAUCCCUUAGUUUUCAUAUGGACAACGCUGCCACGGGAGGGUAGGACAAAAGAUGUCAUGCAAGUUCUUUCCAUAAGCACGUAUGACAAUAUACGGAAUACUUGCCUACAUUAUAUUUAUGAACUAGAGCUAGUGCCGUAUCGCCCUAGGUUAUGACUGUUAUAUGAUGAAUAUCAUCCAAUGAAUUCACCAAUCCAAUGCCUACGAAUUUCUCUUAUAUUGUUCUUGCUAAGUUACUACUGCUAUUGCUAUUGUUACACUUGCUACAAAAUCAUUGAUAUCACUGUUACCGUUACUAUUGUUGUUGCUACUAUUAUCAAAACUAUAUAUUACUUUGCUACUGAUCAUAUUGCUGCAGAUAAUUAAUCUCCAGGUGUGGUUGAAUUGACAACUCAGCUGCUAAUACUUGCAAAUAUUCUUUGGCUCCCCUUGUGUCUAAUCAAUAAAUUUGGGUUGAAUACUCUACCCUCGAAAACUAUUGCGAUCCCCUAUACUUGUGGGUUAUCAGACCCUUGCCUGUUACCUCUCCAAACUCCUCCCAUGUUUCACCGGUACGCGCUUGGCGAAGCCUUGUCGGAAUUUCGUUGCAACCACCACCACCAUAACGUCGUGUUGGUCCCAAUCUCAUCUACUCCCUCUCUCUCGCUUGCUGCAUCAAGAAGGAGAGGACGCCACCGAACCGCACGUGUGCUAAAAUCGGAGGUGCCGUCCGUUCGGCACUUGAUCGGUAGUUCGUGGAUGGAUCGUGAUUGGAUCAUGAAGACGGUUGACUACAUCAUCAGCGUUUUUUAACGUUUCCACUUAGCGAUCUACAAGGGUGUGUGGAUCCAAUCUCUCCUCCCAUAGAUGUGCAUCUCCUAGAUUGAUCUUGAUGAACGUAGGAAAAUUUCGGUUUACCAUGCAACGGUUCCCAACACCGCCACGCUUCAAUUCCUUUACCCAAAUUUUAGUAGCCGUGGUAUUUCAACCAUCGCCCUCACACCUCCAUCACCGACCUUAUAGUAAAUUUCAGUAGCUGAGGCAUUUCAACCAUCACCCUCCCUCAUCCAUCACUCUCUUGACCCACCAUUACUAAAGUUUUCAGUAGUCGUGGCAUAUCCUCAAGCACCACCACGCACCCUCAUGAGUCCAAUUAAUAUGAUAGUUUUACUAUGUAUUUUGUGCCUACAUGAUAGGCUUUGUGGAAUUUACUGCGUUCGCGCACUUCUUUUUGUUGGUAACCCCUCCGGUGAACUUUUUUUGGUCAAUUAUCAUUUAAUGGAGAAAAUCCUCAGAAACGGGAGUGGAAUCACGUAUUUAAAGUGAUAAUCACUUUCCAUAGGUAGUGGCAUCAAGCAAAAAUACUUCCUCCAAAUCCCGAAGUGUGCCUCGCAUCCAAGGUAUAUCUCACAUAGGGCAACAAAUACCAUGAUGUGCACGAUGGCAUUGGGCAUCAGGUUGUGGAGUUGGAUCCAAUAGAACCCAAGAAGGCCCCGAAGGAAUGGGUGGAUGGGGAAUCCAAUGCCCUGCAAUAAGAAAGGGACAAAAUAGACAUGCUCCUCCCCAUGGGGAAUAGGAUGGAUGUUUGUGUGCGCUCGCCCGUCCAAGGAUGUAAAGCCUGGGCAGGUGGUCGUGAGCUUGGAUCUAACAAAUAACCUUGAGUGGCGAGUCGGUUCAGUUGUAGACGGGUGACUGAGCAGCUUCCCCAGUCACCUUGGAGAGGCCAGUGGGAUCUCUUCGAUGAGCCCGCAUGGUUCUCCAUUGCCGCAGCACUCGAGCUACAACUUUGAAGAGAAGAUUUUGUGUUAAGACGGGAAGAGGGAAAGUUGGGGCAUGGUCUGCACUGUAAUCUUGGGUUAUGUACCUAAUACGUCUCCAACGUAUCUAUAAUUUUUUAUUGUUUCAUGCAAUUAUAUUAUCAAUCUUGUAUACUUUAUAUGCAUUUUCAUGUUAUUUUAUAUCAUUUUUGGGAACUAACAUAUUAACCCAGUGCCUAGGGCCAGUUGUUGUUUUUUGCUUAUUUUUUGUACCAAACGGAGUCCAAACGCUACGAAACUUUUGACGAUUUUUUCUGGACAAAAGAGACCCUAGAAGCUGCGGGAGUAGACCGGAGGACAAAUGAGGAGGCGACAAGGCAACAGGGCGCACCCAAUGGGGUAGGGCGGGCCCUAUUACCUUAUGGGCCCCGCGUUGCUCCGUCUAACCUAAUUCCACUUCUAUAAAUUCUCAAAUAUUGGGAAAACCCCAGAGAGCCACGCGAAAAACUUUUUCCGCCGCCGCAAGUCUCUGUUCUUCUGCGAUCCCAUCUGGAGGCCUUUUUCGGUACUUUGUCGGAUGGGGAAUCGAUCACAGAGGGCUUAUACAUCACUUGCUUCAUUCUGAUGAUGCGUGAGUAAUUCACCACAAACCUACAGGUCCAUAGCAAGUAGCUAGAUGACUUCUCUCUCUUUGAUCUUGAAUACAAUGUUCUCCUUAAUCUUCUUGGAGUUCUAUCCGAUGUAAUCUUGUUUUGCGGUGUGUUUGUUGCGAUCCAUGAAUUGUGGUUUUAUGAUCCAAAUAUUCACUGAAAGUAAUUAAGUCUUCUCUGAACUUUAUUUUGCAUGAUUAUGAUAGCUGUGUAUUUCUCUCCGAUCUAUCCGUUUGGUUUUGCCAACUAGAUUGACUUAUCUUCAGUGGGAGAGGUGCUCUGUCGUGGGUUCAAUCCACUAUAGAUAACAGGGCUUUGGUCCUGGCCAGAUGAGAGCAGCCAGGGCUAAUAGGUGCAUCAGUCCCGGUUCGAGUGGCCAGGGCACCGGCCGGGCCUCGGGGGCCAUAGGUCCUGGUUCGUCUGACCCCUUUAGUCCCGGUUCUAGACACGAAUUGGGACUAAAGGGCCUCGCUCCUGGGGCAGCCCCUUUAGUCCCGGUUUGUGGAUGGAACCGGGACUAAAGGUCAGUCUUCUAUCCCGGUUCUAGCCGCCAUCCGGGACAAAAGAGAUGCCUGUAUAUAUAUUGUCAUCCCUGCCAGCUCACUCCUCUCUUUUUUUGCCGACCGGCGUGUGGGAGGUGUGUGCUGCUCUGCUCUCACCUCCUAUGCACAUGAGGUGUUCGAUCAAAUGCCCGAGCCAUAGUUAAGCUUUCUCCUCUCCAAGAUCGACCUCCAAACUCCAUUUCCCCAAGAUUUGUCUAGGUUUGGUGGUCCGUGUUGUCCCAUCCCCAUCCUCACCAUCGUCGAUAGCCUGCGUCGAGCUUGUCACCGGCACCACCGUGGUGAGCCUCUUGUUCUUAUCUUCCUUGUAAAAUAAAACAAUCUUACUUGUAUGAUUUUGAUAGCUACUUGUAUAAUUUUCUAACUUUUAUUAUUGUUUGCUAUUAUAUAGUGUCAUGGUUUUGGUCCUCCUUCAGCUCUUGUCUGGUCUAUGAUUCGGAUGCGGUAUAUUAUCUUUUUUAUAACUAUUAUUUUCAUUUAGUGUUUAUGACAAUUAUACCAACCAACGUGACAUAGAUGUUUUUUAUCUAGGAGGUAUGUGAACGGGAUAUUCCAACCGACUCUCUUGUCGAGAGGUUAAAUUUUGUUGAAAAAGAAAACAAAUAUUUGAAAGAAAAAUUGAAAAGAAUUGAAGAGGAGAAGAUGAAUUGGAGUUGCAUGUUUGCCGAUGUCACCGAUGAUCACAAGAGCUAAAUGGAUGCAAUGUGCGUGAAGAUUAGAAAGCUUAGAAAAUAUGCCAUUGAUAAUGAGGAUUGGUAUCAUUAUGUUGUUGGAUCUAUUGUUACCUUAGUUGCGAUUAUGAUCGCAUUUGUUUUUGCAUUUAAAUGUUUUACAUAGUUGUAUGUUAGUUUCAAUGUUUGUUUCAGUUAGAUGCUCUAGAGAGUUGUAUGUUGUUCUAUGAGAACUAUGUAUGAACUUUAUGUAUUUAUUUUUUCAGUAAUAACAUUUGAUCACUUCUGUACUUUGGUUUUAAUGUGAUGAUGAACUUGUAUUAAUUUGGUCACUUCUCUAUUCAUGAUGUUCUACAAUGGUUUUUGAUACACUUAAUUAUAUAAUGCACGUAGAUGAACCGGCAAUGGAUGUACGUGACCGACGCACCUCCGAGUACAUUGAGGGCCUGCAUAAAUUUCUCGAGGUGACUGAGGCAAACAAGUAGAAUGGUUUUAUGUAUUGUCCAUGCCCUGUCUGUGGGAAUAUGAAGGAUUACUCUAACUCGAAAACCCUUCACCUGCACCUGCUUGAGAAGGGUUUCAUGCCACACUUUAAUGUUUGGACCAAGCACGGAGAAAGAGGGGUUAUGAUGGGAGACAACAAAGAAGAAGAGGAUGAUGACAACUAUCCUAUGUUCCCUGAAUACGGUGAUACUGCAACAGGGGAAGCUGAAGAUCAAGAGGCACCAAACGAUGUGUCUGAUGAUGAUCUUCGCCGGGUCAUUGUUGAUGCACAGAGAGAAUGCGAAAGUGAAAGGGAGAAGUUGCUGUUCGAUAGCAUGUUAGAGGAUCACAAAAAAGGGUUGUACCCAAAUUGUGAAGAUGGCAACACAAAGCUCGGUACCACACUGGAAUUGCUACAAUGGAAGGCAGACAAUGGUGUAUCUGACAAUGGAUUUAGGAAGCUACUGAAAAUUAUGAAGAAGAAGCUUCCAAAGGAUAACAAAUUGCCUGACAGUACAUACAAAGCAAAGAAGGUUCUCUUCCCUCUAGGAUUGGAGGUGCAGAACAUACAUGCAUGCCCUAAUGACUGCAUCCUCUACAGUGGUAAGUACGAGGAUUUGAACGCAUGCCCGAUAUGCGGUGCAUUGCAGUAUAAGAUCAGACGAGAUGACCCGGGAGAUGUUGAGGGCAAGCGCCCCAGGAAGAGGGUUCCUGCCAAGGUGAUGUGGUAUGAUCAUAUAAUACCAUGGUUGAAACGUAUGUCCAGAAACAAAGAGCAUGCCAAGUUGUUGUGAUGGCACAAAGAAGACCGUAAGUAAGACGGGAAGUUGAGAGUACCCGCUGAUGGGUCGCUGUCGGUGUCAAAAUCGGCGGAUCUCGGGUAGGGGGUCCCGAACUAUGCGUCUAGGCGGAUGGUAACAGGAGACAAGGGACACGAUGUUUUUACCCAGGUUCGGGCCCUCUCGAUGGAGGUAAAACCCUACUCCUGCUUGAUUAAUAUUGAUGAUAUGGGCAGUACAAGAGUAGAUCUACCACGAGAUCAGAGAGGCUAAACCCUAGAAGCUAGCCUAUGGUAUGAUUGUUGUUGUCCUACGGACUAGACCCUCCGGUUUAUAUAGACACCGGAGGGGGCUAGGGUUACACAGAGUCGGUUACAAUGGGAGGAGAUCUACAUAUCCGUAUUGCCAAGUUUGCCUUCCACGCCAAGGAAAGUCCUAUCCGGACACGGGACAAAGUCUUCAAUCUUGUAUCUUCAUAGUCCAACAGUCCGGCCAAAGGUUAUAGUCCGGCUAUCUGGACACCCCCUAAUCCAGGACUCCCUCAGUCGCAGUGGAGAAAAAUCAAGAGAAAGUGGCGGGACUUUUCAUAUGACGCAAGGAACGUAUGGUUUGGUUUAAGUGCAGAUGGCAUUAACCCUUUUGGGGAGUAGAGCAGCAAUCAUAACACCUGGCCCAUGACUCUGUGUAUCUAUAACCUUCCUCCUUGGUUGUGCAUGAAGCGGAAGUUCAUUAUGAUCCCAGUGCUCAUCCAAGGCCCUAAGCAAUGCGGCAACAACAUUGAUGUGUACCAAAGGCCAUUAGUUGAAGAACUNNNNNNNNNNNNNNNNNNNNNNNNNNNNNNNNNNNNNNNNNNNNNNNNNNNNNNNNNNNNNNNNNNNNNNNNNNNNNNNNNNNNNNNNNNNNNNNNNNNNNNNNNNNNNNNNNNNNNNNNNNNNNNNNNNNNNNNNNNNNNNNNNNNNNNNNNNNNNNNNNNNNNNNNNNNNNNNNNNNNNNNNNNNNNNNNNNNNNNNNNNNNNNNNNNNNNNNNNNNNNNNNNNNNNNNNNNNNNNNNNNNNNNNNNNNNNNNNNNNNNNNNNNNNNNNNNNNNNNNNNNNNNNNNNNNNNNNNNNNNNNNNNNNNNNNNNNNNNNNNNNNNNNNNNNNNNNNNNNNNNNNNNNNNNNNNNNNNNNNNNNNNNNNNNNNNUGACCUACGAACAUUGUUGUUUGUCACCAUCAAUGAUUGGCCUGCUCUUAGUAACCUUUCAGGAUAGACAAACAAGGGAUACAACACAUGCAUGCACUGUUUAGAUGAGACUGAAAGUAUAUAUUUGGACAAAUGCAAGAAGAAUGUGUACCUGGGACAUCGUCGUUUCUUCUGAACAAACAUGCCUUAAGAAAAAAAGGCAAGCAUUUCAAAGGUGAGGCAGAUCACUAGAAGAAACCCGUCCUCUGUACUGGUGCUGAUAUACUUGAUAUGGUCAAGGAUUUACAAGUAAUCUUUGGAAAGGGUCCUGACGGACAAUCUCUUCCGAAUGACGCUAGGGACGCACACCCAUGUGGAAGAAGAAAUCUAUAUUUUGGGACCUACCAUAUUGGAAAGACCUAGAGGUCCGCUCUGCAAUCGAUGUGAUGCAUGUGACGAAGAAUGUUUGCGGGAACAUGAUAGGCUUCUUGGGCAUCUACGGGAAGAUAAAAGAUACACCGGAGGCACGGAAGGACCAGCAACGUUUGAACGAAAAAGAUAGCAUGCAUCCAAAGCAGUAUCAAGGUCCUACCAGCUACGCUCUUACCAAAGCCGAGAAGGAAAUCUUCUUUGAAUGACUUCCAAACACGUCAUAAACUAAACCCGUACUAAAAAAUAACCAACCCGCAAUGAAUACAUAGGGAAGGUAUAGUAAUGCUAUGAAUAACCCAUUAUCGAAUACUGGUAAUAAUAUCAGCAAAAGAACGUUCUCCCGUGCUUCCAGACAUGCUGAACUCCCAAAACUUUUGUACAUUCAAAAAAGGAAUUGAUUCCGUAAAAGAUGGGAUCGACCAGUAAAUAGAAAAUUACUAAUAGUUCAUCCUUGUGAGAUUGUCAACUUUGUACCAAAGGUGUAUUUUGAGCUCAGUAUCAAGAUCCCAUCUGGCUUCUCGUCGAAUAUAAAGGGAAUAAUAAAUAUGGCAGAGAAAAAAUUCCAGAACCUAAAGUCUCAUGACUGCCACGUGAUUAUAACGCAACUGCUUCCGGUUGCAUUUAGGGGGCUUCUACCAGAAAAUGUUCGAUUAGCCAUUGUGAUGCUAUGUGCAUUCCUCAAUACAAUUUUUCAGAAGGUAGUCGAUCUAGAAAUCCUACCAAGGUUACAGAAUGAUUGGUCCAAUGUCUUGUCAGUUUUGAGUUGGUGUUCCCACCAUAUUAUGAUGCACGUCCUAGUUCACCUAGUCGACGAGAUUGCCAUUCUGGGUCCUGUAUUUCUACACAAUAUGUUCCCCUUCGAGAGGUUCAUGGGAAUCUUAAAGAAACAUGUUCGUAACUUUGCUAGGCCAGAAGGAAGCAUCUCCACAGGCCAUCAAACAAAGGAGGUCAUUGGGUUUUGUGUUGACUUUAGUCUUGACAUUAAGCCGAUUGGUCUCCCUCAAUCGCGGUAUGAGGGGAGACUGACUGGAAAAGGCACACUAGGAGCAGAUUGAAUAAUAUGUAGGGACGAGCAUUCUUGGGCUCAAGCAAAUUACACAGUUCUAUAGAACUCUACCAUGGUGACCCCAUAUAUCAAUGACCACAAGAAUAUUCUAUGCUCCAAACACCCGGAGCAGUCUGACGACUGGAUUACACGUGAAAACAUCAGUACUUUCGACGGUUGGUUGCAAACACACCUCAUGGGUAACAACAUUGUUGGAGAUGAGUUAUACUUGUUGGCCAAGACACCAUCUUUGACUGUAUUGACUUACCAAGGGUACAAGAAAAAUGGGAAUACAUUUUACAUGAUCGCCCAAGAUAAACAGAGCACCAACCAAAACAGUGGUGUCCGCUUUGAUGCAGCAACCAAUAGGGGAAAGGACACAUAUUAUGGUUACAUAGAGGAGAUAUGGGAACUUGACUAUGGACAUGAAUUUAAGGUCCCUUUGUUUUGGUGCAAAUGGGUCAAUCUGUCAGGAGGCGGGGUACAGGUAGACCCAUAGUACGUGUCGUGGAUUUGUCACAGCAGAUGUCCUUAGUGUGAGGACAUAGUCGUGAGGCCAACGCAUCUAUGUGAUAGCUUGAGAGGGGUUGAGUGGGAUGAGAGACGCGAGGUUUUACCCAGGUUCGGCCCCUCACGUUGGAGGUAAAAGCCUACAUCCUGCUUCAUUGGUAUUGAUCAUGGUGCUCACGAUUACAAGGGUGCUCCUUGGCUACCUCUAUCUCGAGAGCUAUUGACUUGUUGGUCUCAACUUGUGUAACUUCUCCCUCUUGGGGUGCCCUGCCCCUCCUUAUAUAAGGUGGAGGGGCGGGUUACAUGAGGAGUCCUAGUGCGAUUAGGAUUAUUCUAUUACAAGAGGAAUCCUAGUAUUGCUUCCUUUGUAAGGGAAUAUUCCUUUUGCCUUCCUUCUCAAGCCGACCCACCAUAAUAUGAGUCGGCCUUCCAUGAACCGCCUUCUGGGCUACCGGGUCUUGUUGCUCCUCUGACCCGCCUGCCGGGUUACCAAUCAGUCGCUAACUCUGGGCGGGUUACUAAUGAGUCGCCAGGUCAGGGCGGGUCACCAGUGAGUUGCCAAGUCUAGCUGGUUCAUUCAUCCGGCAUGGUUACACCGCAGGGUUUAUCCCUAACAUUAGCCCCCACUUUAAUUUGGAUUUAUCCAUGUUAAACUCAUCCUGAUCAUCCGUAAGUCCUUGUCAUUUCCUUCUUCUGGAAAGUACGGGUCAAUAGACCAGCUUCAUAAUCAAUUUUCUGACAUUGGUUUCUCACAAAAAAAUAUUGUGAAGAAUAAUUCAUUUGAUUCAGCUCCCAAUGCUUAAUAAAAAUAUUAGUCUUGAAAUACUCAUCUGAUUUUCAGUCGGCUUGAAGAUGUAAAACUUGCCGGUUUAUAAUUGCCUAUAGCCCCCAAGUCUUAAGAGGGGAACCUUGAAGAAAUCUGGGUUGUUCAUCUCAAUCACUAGUCAUAAACUGAAUAUUCCACAUAUGUAGCCCCCAAGUAUCGGGUUGUCUUGCUUGCAGCAACCUGGGACUUGUAAUUUCCUUAUACUCAUAAAAACUUCAACCAGUGUAGCCCCCAAGGGCCGGCUCAGUAAGACAAUACUGGACAGGGACUUAGCAAAAAGGAUAUAAGGCCAACUCACCUUCCUGAAAGAAUCGAGUCUGUUAUCAAUGUGAUAAUUUGAAAAGCAACAUGCAUUAGCCCCCAAGUGCCAUGGUGCAGGCUUGCAGCGACAUGGGACUUGCAUACUUGAUAAAAUCUUGACUUGAAUAAUGUAGCCCCCAAGUGUCGGGUCGUAUGCCUAUAGCGAUUCGGGACUAAAUAAAAGCAUAUCCAUUGUCCGGAUGAUUUUGCUUAAAGCUUUUGCAUAUCAAUAUUGAACCAUGCUCUCUACUUGUGAGCCGGUAUUUUUAUAUGAAGGAAUAAUAGCCAUUAAUCUGAAGCGGCAUUUGAAAAACCUCAAUCAUAAUACUGGUUAUUGAUAACCAUAAUAAAAAUCCAGCCAUAUUUGGCUAUUAAAGAUUGGAAGAAUAUAACCUGUCGUGAAAACAAUCAUAAGAUCUUGUCUAUUGAAGAGUAAAUCUAGAGUUUAAAUACUUAGUGGCUCUUGGCCGAUGGCGACUUAAUGCGCAUUCAUUGUAAUCUGGGACUUUUGCAACCCGGCGGCUUAUAGUCUUUGUAAAAAUCAAGAAUUGAUAACCUUUUUGAAACAUCAAUUUUAAUCCUUGAUGAUGGGUUUGAACUCAUUUAUGUAAACCAUAGCUCUGCAUGUCCUGCACAAAGCUUAAACAACAUAUGUGAUGGCGACUUAACGUCAAAAACUAGGGCGGUAACAACCCAAACAUAAUCUAUACCUACUAAUAAAAGAAAGAGGUAUUCUUAGUCCGUCAUGCUAUUUUAUAGAAAACUCCCUAAUGUUUCUAACAUUAAACCCGCAAUACAUAUCAAAUGUAACAUGUUAUAUAUGGAAUUUGAUUAGAAAAAUAUAUAGAAUCUGAACAUGAUGUUAUUUUACCCGUUAACAAUUUUUUUAAAAUAGUAUCUAGGGUGCAAUCUUAAUCAACAGUGCAUUAUCCUUCUUUCUUUCAUAUCGAUACUCCGGAUUGUGGAUGAACAUCUCAGCAAAAUCAGGAUUGGAGACAAAAUUGAAGAUCACUUUUCCGUUGCUUUGUCCGUUUCUUUGUAGGUAUUAAUUCUACUUGCAAGCCGCGUUUAAAUAGAAGACAUGUGGAAUCUUGAACUUGCGCUUUUAUAGGCAAAGACCAUCUUUUUUGGGCCGUAGCUACAAAUACUCAGAUUAUAGACCAUUUUUUGUAAAAUAAAAGGGUGUGGUAUUCUUUUCUCCCGUUGCAACGCACGGGCCCUUUUGCUAGUACUAGUAUAGUCUUAUGAAAUUAUGGAAAAGACUAGAAUUAAGGCCAUCAAUGCCAAAAUAUACUGGCGACUUAACGUCAAAAGCCAGGGCGGGUUAUCAAACCUCGCAUAUUCGUAUAACAAUUAAAAACAUACCUAUAGAAUUGACUUCUACUGCCAGCUUACAUCGUCAUAUUUAGUGAGGUUGAAAACCCAAAGGUUUAUAAGAGCAUGAUUCCAAUUGCGCAAUCCAAAGUAUACUGGCGACUUAAAGUCCAUAGCGAGGGCGGGUUUUCAAACCCAAAGAUGGCACUACAAGAAAUCUGUUAAUACGUGACGGUCCUUAGCUGUCACAGAUUAGCCAAAAACUGUCAUGCGUGCCCAUACAUGAUGGACUUGAAAUCCGUCAUGUAUAUCGCGUCAUAAUUUGACAUCGUAGCUUCCAUGACGGUUCUUGGCCGUCAUGCUCAAUGAUGAGUCAUAUAAUCAAGGCUAUGUGACCUGUGAAAUUGGUUCAUACUGACGCCUUACUGCCCUCCUUCUAGCCCCAUGGUGGGCGCCAACUGUCGUGGAUUUGUCAUGGCGGAUGUCCUUAGUGUGAGGACUUAGUCAUGAGGCCAACGCAUCUAUGUGAUAGCUUGAGAGGGGUUGAGUGGGACGAGAGAUGUGAGGUUUUACCCAGGUUCGGCCCCUCACAGUGGAGGUAAAAGCCUACAUCCUGCUUCAUUGGUAUUGAUCAUGGUGCUCGCGAUUACAAUUUACAAGGGUGCUCUUUGGCUACCUCUAUCUCGAGAGCUAUUGACUUGUCUGUCUCCACUUGUGAAACUUCUCCCUCUUGGGGUGCCCUGCCCCUCCUUAUAUAAGUUGGAGGGGCGGGUUAUAUGAGGAGUCCUAGUAGGAUUAGGAUUAUUCUAUUACAAGUGGAAUCCUAGUCUUGCUUCCUUUGUAAGGGAAUAUUCCUUUUGCCUUCCUUCUCAAGCCGGCCCACCAUAAUAUGAGUCGGCCUUCCAUGAACCGCCUUUUGGGCUACCGGGUCCUGUUGCUCCUCUGACCCGCCUGACGGGUCACCAAUGAGUCGCCAACUCUAGGCGGGUUACUAGUGAGUCGCCGGGUCAGGGCGGGUCACCAGUGAGUCGCCAAGUCUGGCCGGGUCAUUCAUCUGGUAGGGUUACACCACGGGGUUUAUCCCCGACAGUACGGAAUAACAAUAGUGGAUCUCAAUAAUGCGUAGUUUUUCUAUGUGAAGGACAUGUCUACCAAACCGAGAAAAAGAAAAGAUAAGGAAGUGAAUAAAUCAUACGAUGAGCCAAAGCGCCACAUAGUUCUUUCAGGGAAAAGUAACAUCGUGGGAGUGGAGGGCAAGACAGACAUGUCUGAAGAUUAUGAAAAUUUUCAUGAAAUUCCUCCCUUCAAAGUGAAGGCUGACCGACGCAUCCUAUUAACGAUGAAGAUUAUCCAUGGUUACGGCGCAAUAAGCAAGGGACACACGCGAAGAAAAAGUGAAGACUUUCUCUCUAGUGAAGAAAAAGUGUAGAUAGAUGAAAUCCCUUUUGUAAUAGAUGAGUUUUCGUUCGAAACCCCGAUACUUCAAAAGAGAUUGUCUAGUUUGUACACGAAGUGCAUCCAGUUUUUCCCGUAACCCUCUCAACUUUUUAGCACAUGCUAUGUGGGUGAAAUUAUGAUACCAUGCCAAGUUUCAACCUUUUCAGAGUUCAUUUGUAGUGCUUUUCAAUUUCAGGGUCAUUUAGCUCAAAAUAAAUCAUUAAAUGCAUGCAAAAUAGCAAAUGAAGUCAGAGAAGGGUUGAAAAGUGAUGAUGUGCCUUUGAAUGAUGCAUAUUGAAUGCACAAAAAAGUAUGGAGUUAAAAUAUGUUAAAAAUGAAAUCCCUUUUCGUAAUAGAUGAGUUUUCGUCCGAAACCCUGAUACUUCGAAAGAGAUUGUCCAGUUUGUACACAAAGUGCAUCCAGUUUCUUCUGUAACCCUCUCAAAUUUUUAGCACAUGCUAUGUGGGUGAAAUUAUGAUACCAUGCCAAGUUUCAACCUUUUCAAAGUUCAUUUGUAGUUGUUUUUGAAUUUUAGGGUCAUUUAGCUCAUAGAAUGAACUAAUAGCAAAAAUAAUGAACUAAGCUAUAGCGAAGAACUUAAACGAUCUGAUUCUAAGCUUACGGUUGGGUCUAGUCCAUCACAUCAUUCUUCUAAUGAUGUGAUCUUGUUAUCAAAUGACAACUCAUGCCUGUGGUUAGGAAACCUCAACCAUGUUUGAUCAACGACCUAGUCUAGUAGAGGCUCACUAGGGACAUGGUAUUUUUUUAUGUAUUCACACAUGUAUUUAAGUUUCGAAUCAAUACAAUUCUAGCAUGAAUAAUAAACCUUUAUCAUGCAUGAAUGGAAAAUAUGAUAAUAACAUCUUUAUUAUUCCCUCUAGGGCAUAUUUCCAAUAGACUUUUGGAUAGAUUGAGCUUGAGAAAGAGAGUGAUAACCCACAAGUAUAGGGGAUUGUUUGUAGCCUUCUUCGAUAAAUAAGAGCGUCGAACCCAACGAGGAGCUAAAGGCAGAACAAAUAUUCCCUCAAGUUCUAUCGACCACCGAUACAACUCUACGCACACUUGACAUUUGCUUUACCUAACACAAGUAUGAAACUAUUUUGGAAGAAUAAAACUAUGAGUACUUUGCGAGAAUAAAACUACAAAUAAAUUGCAAGGUAAUACAAGUGGAUAGCUUUUGUCAACAAGAAAGUCAUUUGUCCCUAGGCAAUCGAUAACAAGUACCGGUAAUCAUUCUUGUAAUUUCAUAUGAGGGAGAGGCAUGAGCUAACAUAGUUUCUCUACUUGGAUCAUAUGCUCUUAUGAUUGGACCCCUAGCAAGCAUCCGCAACUACUAAAGAUCAUUAAGGUCGUGAAACCCAACCAUAGCAUUAAGUAUCAAUUCCUAUUUAUCCCAUACGCAAUAACCCACCUACUCGGGUUUAAGCUUAUGUCACUCUCGCAACCCACCAUAAGCAAAUCAUGAAAGUAUUGCAACACCCUACAGCGGGGACCCCUCAUGUUUGCGUGAGAUGGAGGGCACCGUAGGACAGCACUAUAAAUAACAUAUACAAUCAUAACAACCAAGAUGAUGAUUAACCCACAAGACAAAACGGAUCUACUCAAACAUCAUAGGAUAGCGAAAUAUCAUUGGGAAAUAAUAUAUGGAGUUGAGCACCAUGUUUAAGUAGAGAUUAUAGCAGGGAGAAGGGGUGUUUUACCACUGCAUAGUGGGGGGAGAGUUGGCAUUGACGGUAGCAAGAUUGUUGAUGUAGAUCGCCGUCACGAUCCUUGCCCCGGCGGCACACCGGCGCCACCUGGAGAGAGGGGGAGAGAGCCCACCUCCUUCUUCUUCUUCCUUGGCCUGCCCCCUAUAUGGGAGGAGAGUUCCCCCUCUGGUCCAUGGCCUCCAUGGCGGUGGAGGGGCGGGAGCCCCUCCGAGAUUGGAUCUGUCUCUCUGUUCCCUUCUGUUUCGCGUUUCCCAGAUCUGACCUUUCACCUUCUCUUAAAUUCCCGGAGAUCCGUAACUCCGAUUGCGCAGAAAUUUUUACAUGAUUUGUUUCCAUAAAUUAUCUUUCUUGCGCCAGAAGAAGGGCCCCAACCGCCUUACAAAGAGCGCACAAGACAGCUGGGCGCGCCUGGCACCACCUAGCACGCCCUGAUGUAUCUUGGGGCCUGUGGGCCCCCGUUUAUGUGUAUUCCACCUUCCAAAAUUCACAAAUAUUCCAAAAUAACUCUCCAUAAAUUUUUAAUGCAUUUGGACUUCGUUUGAUAUGGAUUUUCUACUAAACAAAAAUAAGCAACAACCAGGAACUGGCACUGGGCACUGGAUCAAUAGGUUACUCCAAAUAAAUCAUAUAAAAUGUUGCCAAAAGUGUAUAAAAGUUUUAUAAUAUUGGCAUGAAACAAUAAAAAAUUAUAGAUACGACGGAAACGUAUCAGCAUCCCCAAGCUUAAUUCCUGCUUGUCCUCGAGUGGGUAAAUGAUAAAAAAGAUAAUUUUUCAUGUGGAAUGCAACCUAGCAUAAAGUUGAUCAUAUAUCUAAUCAUGGCAUGAAUAUUCAGACAUAAGUGAUUCAAAGCAAUAGUCUGUAAUUUGACACAAAGACAUCAAUACUCAGGCAUCCCAACAAACAAUCAUGUCUUUCAAAAUAUCAAAGCUAAAGAAAGCUAUCCCUACAAAAUCAUAUAGACUUGUCAUGCUCUGUCUUCUUAACACAAAGUAUUUAUCAUGCACAACCCUGAUGACAAGCCGAGCAAUUGGUUCAUACUUUUUAAUGCGCUUCAGCUUUUUCAACACUCACGCAAUACAUGAGCGUGAGCCAUGGAUAUAGCACUACGGGUGGAAUAGAGUAUGAUGAUAGGGGUAAAUAUAGAGACAACAAAAAAAGAAAGUCUCACAUCGACGUGGUAACCAACGGGCCAUGGAGAUGCCCAUCAAUCGAUAUCAAUGUGAGGAGUAGGGAUUGCCAUGCAACGUGUCAUGGAAUUUUCACGGCAGAUGUCCUAGUAGAAGGACUUAGUCGUGAGGCCAUCACAUGUAGGUUAGCUUAAAGGGGUUAAGCGGGACAAAGGACACAAGGAGUUUAUACUGGUUCGGCCCCUUGCGGUGAAGGUAAAGCCCUAAUCCAGUUUGAGGUGGUAUUGCUUAUGUUUCGAUUACCAGGGAGCGAAUAUGCUUGGCCUAGCUUUUGAUCUGUUGUUUCUUGCCCUAAACCGUCGCCGGGUCGUCCCUUUAGAUACACAGGUUGACGCCCCGCGGCUCAUAGACGCCCGGCCGGCUCAUAAGGUGCCAGGUCGGUAACUAACUAUACAUGCCUUACAAUACAAGUCAUACAUAUAUGGCAGUUUAUGCUUAUGGGCCUUAAGUCGCCAUUGGGCUUCGGGCCCUUAGCAAGUCUGCUUCGUGAAUCGCCACCUUCAAUAUCUUCAUGGGCUUUGUCUUGAUAAACCGCCAUUGGUAUAACCUGGCCCCUCCUAGGCGGGUUAUAUCCAAUAGUCAUAUCCCCAACAUUAGGCCUCAGGUUGAUUUGAACUUGUUCAUAUCAAUUUUCCAUACUUAGAAAAAAUCCUUCUUCAUUUAUUCUUGCGAGAUCUUGUAACCCGCCAUGACGUCAUCUCCUGGGAUUGUAGUAACCCGUCGUGAUGUCACCUGUCAUUAAUAUUACACAAGGCCCAAAUCUUAAUAAAUCUUCCUUUUUAAUGAACCUCCGAAAAUCGAGGCUUUUGCGUCGUCACAUAUCCAUUUUUUGGUCUCCUCGAUUCCCGUGCAUGCCACUUAUCCUUCCAGCCUUAUAAAUAGGGCCAGGGGUCCCUUUUCACUCUCCCCCCUUUGCCUUCUCGUCUUCAACCUUUCUCUCUCGCGCUGCAUCUGCGCAUCUGAACACCGCCGGCGGCGAGCUCGUCAACUUCCUCGACCCCGGCCGCUGCAUCGACCUGAACGAGACCAGAGAAUUGUGACGCCUCUCCGUUGCUCAGUGGAUCCAGUAAGCACCUCUCCUUUCUCCACUGUAGAUCUCCAUUAGGGUUUUCUGUAGUUCUUAGUAGUUCAUCGUCGUUCUUCAUCAUACCUCUUUUUGAUCCUUUCUUCGAUCCAAAAAUAGCUUUUAAAAUAUGCGGAAACUAUUUCUGUACCUUCUCUUAAUCACUGAAUAUGCUUCCUAGAUGCAAAAAUCUUGCCAAUAUGCUAGUUCCUCCGCUGCCGCGAUACAAGGUUUUGAUUUUACUUUCUUUUCCGCACAACAUUAGAUCCAAAAUUAACUGCACCAAUCUGUAAAACCAUUUUACCCAACACUUAGCAGAAUUCGCUCUUGAUAGAUCUUAAAUACCUUUAUUGUCAUGGCAGCUUACAUCACCAGUUAUAAUUAGUCAUAUGUCAUUAGGCCCCGUGUAAGCCGCCAAUGUGAAUAUAUGCUGCAGCGUUCAUUUUCGGCUUAACAAAUCAACUUAAAUCGGCAAAUUUUCUUUCUUUUAGGCUUCUUUCCUUACAAUGUCGAAGAUAGUCACCUCAUGUAAUUGGGUUCCCUCUAUUGUCACUGAGAGCAUGCUUGAGGACUUUGUCAAAGCCGGCUUUUUACCAGCAAAAAACAACAUGCAUUGGCGCGCUCCCAAACUAUUGGGGAUAUUACUACUGGGCGUAAACCGGCCAAGAAAGGCCGGGUUAACUUCAUCAGUAGUUAAAGCCCAUGAAGGCAGAUGAGGAUGUAUAUAAGGGUCCAAGGCCCAUAAUCGGUUUAAGGCCUGUAGCCGUAAACCAGCGUCGUAUGUAACUUAUAUUGUAAGUUAGGAAUAGUGGAGACCAAACCGGACACACCUAUGAGCCGGUAUCGGGACUCUGUAAACCGACGGGCGUCACCCGUGUAUAUAAGGGGACGACCCGACGGCGGUUCAGGAGGACAGACAACAAAUCGAGACUUAGGCGAAGCUUGUUUGCUCCCUAGUCAUCGAAACCCCAUCAAUUCCAUCACAAAUAGACGUAGGCUUUUACCUUCAUCGAAGGGGCCGAACUAGUAUAAACUCUCUUGCGUCCCUGUGUCCGCUUUAACCCCUUCAAACUAACCCGUAGCGAUGGCUCCAUGACUAAGUCCUUUCAUGAGGACAUCUGCCGUGACAAAACCACGACAGUUGGCGCCCACCGUGGGGCUAUCGCACGAUGGUUUCAAGUUAUUGGAGGGCAACUUCGAAGGACUCAAGGGUUACGCCGUGGGCCGGAUGACCAAGAGUCGUCGUGGCAAGCUCUACAUCGACGAUGCGGGAUGGGGCCCCGAGGCUGGCUCAAUUGAGUACGGGUACCGGGUCCCCUUUGGUGGCAUUCACAUCUUCAUUGGCAAGAUCGGUGAACCGGGCCCUGAGCCGGACAUCUGCACCGACCUCGUAGAAACGGCUCAACGUGCAUGAUCUGCCCAGGUUAAACUGGCCAUGAAGCGUGCCUUCAUGGGAGUCAUCCAUGGAGGGGAAUACGAGGAUAGAUCAGAAUCUGGUGGUGAGACCGUUGUUUAUUCCGGCGACGAGUCCUCGACCGGAGAAACUAAGUCAUUAUAUCAGUUACAAGAUGGCCGGAUUGGGGGUUGUUCCGAUGGCGACAGUAUUCCGGACCCCUCUGAUCUGCCAAACCGGGUUGGAAUAUUCAUGGCCGGUACACAAGCAGCAAUCCACUCUUCGACCGCAGCAGCAAUGAUCUCCAGGUCAGUGACGGCGACGGCAGCCGGGGCAAGAGGCCCUGUGCGCCCACCGGCUCAAGUUUUAUCUGAUCUGUUUGAUGCGUUGGCUACACUCAUGGCAGAGGCUAACCAGGCGGAUCAGGACACUCACAAUGCGGAAAUCGCAAAGGUGAAGAAUCAGAUUACUCAGGCCAAGGCCGAUUUAGCGGCUGAGAAUGCCAGGAUGACCGCAGAACGGGCCGCUUUGGGCGCACAGGCUUAUCGGCUUCUGCUGGAUCAGAACGCAUCACAUGAGGUUCUGAAGAGGAAGCACCGGUCUCGCCUACCUCCGGUUUACGAGGGCAGAGACCUCUUUAACACCCCAGAGCAGGGACCAGUAACCCGCCGGUGGUAAACCGGGCGGAAGCACCAGGGACGGGCACGCCGGUUCAGCCUCGCUUGGUGGAGCCGCCUCGUUAGAACAAUAUCGUGCCUCAGCCUGUCCCAACACCUCCGGGUCAUUAUUCCAAUCCGAUGGACAACCUUGUUGCUGCCGCUUCACGACUGGCGGCCAUCCCAAUUGAAGCUGAUUCUCCGGCGGCGGUGGAGACGCGCCGGGUUAAGGAAGCAUAUUCAUACAGUCGUGGUCGGAUUCAUUCCACCCCACGCCCGAGCCGGAGCUACAGCAGGCGCAUGGAUGAACCGGCCGUGUCAAGCAAUGCACGAAACCAUGAAGCGCCCCGUGACAACAACCCGGCAGGCGGUGUUGGUGAUGCUCAGGAAAUGAUAGACCUAGCCCGAGCGCGCAGGGAGGCCGAGUUAGUGGCGCAGUAUGAGGCUCGUCAGCUUACGCCGGUUCAUCCAACCACCUCAGUCGAGCCGGGAGUUACCUCUAGCACUUCAAAAAAAGACACAUCCAUGAAAUUUUGGGCCGAAGGAAAUUUUUUUUGUCAUACAUAUGACACUUCUAUGACGAUAAUUGUGACAAAACCCGGUAUCAUCAUAGCACUACUAGGGAAAAGCCUAUACACAGAAUCUUACCAGCAGCGCGCUUUAAAAUCAGGCGCUGCUGCUAAGUAGCAGUAGCGCGGGCCACAAAAACUCGCUGCUGAAACAAGUUUAUCAGUAGCGCGUGCACUCCAAGAAGCGCUGCUGUUAAAAUAAACAGCGCUACUGCUACGUAACGUAGCAGUAGCGCAUUCGGGCAAUAAUCGCUACUGCUAAAUUAACUACAAAAAUUUAGUCCCACCUCGCUCCUUGAAGAGAGUUUUACCCACCUUAAAUAUGUUUCUUCUACAACUUUCACAAGCACUUGGUCUUCAUUGAACUCUAUGUGUAGGAUCUAUGGCCGCAAUAGGAGUCCUUGCCAGUUCUUAAACCAACCGACGAGGAUUCCUAUUGACAAAUCAGAUUGUACACAAAAAGACCAUUGAUGAUCAAUGUAUUUUUUAUGUCUAUGUCUAUUUUUACAUACUGACACAUAGCAGUAGCGCGUUCAGGCCGAAAGGCGCUACUGAUAGGUCGUUUAGCAGUAGCGCGUUUACCUAUAGCGUGCUACUGCUAUGCCGUUCCAUCUCCCCCCACUCACUAGCCUCAUCCACAGAUCACACUCACACACACUCAUGGUCUCCUNNNNNNNNNNNNNNNNNNNNNNNNNNNNNNNNNNNNNNNNNNNNNNNNNNNNNNNNNNNNNNNNNNNNNNNNNNNNNNNNNNNNNNNNNNNNNNNNNNNNNNNNNNNNNNNNNNNNNNNNNNNNNNNNNNNNNNNNNNNNNNNNNNNNNNNNNNNNNNNNNNNNNNNNNNNNNNNNNNNNNNNNNNNNNNNNNNNNNNNNNNNNNNNNNNNNNNNGAUCUGCGCCGCUGUCGCCUCAUCCUCCUCGCUGGACUCGGUACCGGCCUCCUCCUCCUUCCUCCCUCCACUCGCUGCUGGCCGCCCCUCCUCGCUCCGCCUUCCUCCUCGAUCCGUCCUCCCUCCACUCGCCGCCGGCCGGCCCCUCCUCGCUCCGCCUUCCUCCUCCGUCCUACUAUCUUCUCCCUCCUCGAGUCGCCCCUCCUUGUCCCUCCUCCCUAAUACAUUUUGAUUUAGUAGGCUUUCAUAUGUAACAUUUUGAUUUAGUUGAUAUGAUUCAGUUGAUUUAGUAGGCUAGUUGAUUUAGUUGAUUUAGAACAUUUUGAUUUAGUUUGUUUAGUAGGCUAGUUGAUUUAGUUGAUUUAGUAGGCUAGUUGAUUUAGAACAUUUUGAUUUAGUUGAUUUAGUAUGCUAGUGGAUUUAGUAUGCUAGUUGAUUUAGUUGAUAUGAUUCAGUUGAUUUAGUAGGCUAGUUAAUUUAGUUGAUUUAGAACAUUUUGAUUUAGUUUAUUUAGUAGGCUAGUUGAUUUAGUUGAUUUAGUAGGCUAGUUGAUUUAGAACAUUUUGAUUUUGUUGAUUUAGUAUGCUAGUGGAUUUAGUAUGCUAUUGGAUUUAGUAUGCUAGUGGAUUUAGUAUGCUAGUUGAUUUAGUUGAUUUAGUUGAUUUUUGUAAUAAGUUAUUUUUUGGCAAAAUGUAGGUGCCAAUUUAGUUAAAUUUGCCACUUGUUUCCUGUGAAGUGAAUCGUUAAUCCUUUGCUCAUAUUGCUUUAGGAAAAUGGCGCCACCACCAGCACCACUAUGUCGACUGUGCAAGUCAAGGUGCGCCAGCAGCCUUGCAACUGGCAAGCUGUUCGGCAUCUACUUCCAUCCGAGUUUUCGUCAUGCGGCGGUAAGAAAUUAGAUGAAAUGUAACAACUAUUUUAUUUUUAGUGUUGGCAUUACUGCAUUGUGUCAUUUUGCUUUUCUUACACAGAUCUUCCCAUGCAAUGUGAGGUUGAAAUUCAACAAGCUGACAGGAGAUACUGUGACAUUUGAGGCUCCUGGGGGGCGUACACUAUGGAGGUCGAGAAAGGACGCAAUAUGUCGCAGAUUGGAGGAGAUGGAUGGGCCGUUUCCUCGCUCGCAUGCGUCUUACUGGUGGUGAGUUGAUCAGAUUCUCCUUCAGAGCAGAAAGACCCAAGCUAGUUGUCAUUUAUAUCAACCUGAUGGAAGAUGAUGAAGAUGACGAAGAUGAUGAAGAUAAUGAGGACCCACUCAAUGAAGAUGAUGAGAACCCACUUCAUGAAGCCAUCAUAGCUCAAAGAAUGAGGCUGAGCGAGGAGGAGGUGUGCAACCUAUGGGACAUAAUUCCGCCACGUGAUGACUUUGUCGGGGUGCCAUUCGUGACCCGCCUGACAAGUACCAUGGUCGAUCGGCAUGAAAUGGUAUGUUAUACGUACUGCAUGUAGUAAUUUGAUGAUAUAUAUAUGCUUUAUUGUUAUACUUACAAAUGCAAAUUAUCCGAUUAUAUAUAUGCUUAGUGAAUCCGAUGAUAUGCUUUGUGGAAUCUAGUCGAUGAUAUACUUUAGUGUAGAUAAUCCAUAUAUACUUAUUAGUAGAAUUCAUGAUUAAUUAGUACAAAUGCGUAGUACUGUGUCUUUUGAUAGUGUAGAAAUCUAGACUUAAUAGAAAUAUAUUUACAAGAGUAUGUGUGAGGCUAUUUAUUAAUUGAUAUGUUUUUCUUAUUCAGAGAUUGCCAAAGAACCUAUCUGUGAGUUGUGGUAUCGAGCCUGAUGAAGAAGGCUCAGUUGGACUAUGCCUUACCGCAAGGGGCUCCAUCACCACAUGUACUUACCGCAUGGACACAGAUGGUCGCACACACUUGAACUCGGUUGGGUGGAAGAGAUUCCUCGUUGGCAAGAAUCUUCGUGUUGGACAGGCCAUCCUAAUUACUAUCAGGAACACCCACCGCCCAGGCUUGAGGAUGAUGAUCGUCGUCGAUAUCAUCUAGAACUACAUAUGUGUGUGUGGCUAUAUCAUUUAGAACUACAUAUGAUGAUCGUCAUCGAUAUCAUGUAGAACUACAUAUGAUGAUCGUCGUCGAUAUCAUCUAGAACUAAAUAUGAUGAUUGUCGUCGAUGUCACCUUGUACUGCUUGAGGAUGCAUGUUGAGUAUAUAUGAAAUUGUUAUCUAGUACUCCCUCGGUUCGAAAUUACUCGUCGUGGUUUGAGUUCAAAUUUGAACUAAAACCACGACGAGUAAUUUAGAACCGACGGAGUACUACCUAGUACCUAUAAUGCUUUAUGAAAUUGAUAUCUAGUAGUACCUAGUAUCUGGAAAUUGCAGUUUAUCGAAGCUGGAAUGGGGAAAUGGUGAAAGAUAUAACAGUAGCGCGGGACCGGGAAAUCGCUACAGCUAAAUAAUAGCAACGCGUUCCUGAAAAGCGCUACUGCUAUAGUCAAUAGUGGUAGCGCGGGUACAGGCAGCGCUACUACUAAGAGUUAGCUGUAGCGCCUUAUUGGUAGCGCGGGCACCCGCGCUGCUGAUAGGCCUAAAACCCGCGCUGCUGCUAGCCUUUUCCCUAGUAGUGUAGAUGUGGUGGGCUCCUACUUCUAUGACAAAAAAUCAUGACAGAAAAUGGGCUUUUCGUCCUGGGCGGGCCGGAGACGCAGCUGCAUGACAUUCUUUGGGCCAUCCAUGACGGAAAAAACCAUGGUAGAAGCGAGGGGGAGGAAAAUUUCGGGAAGUUCCCGGUUACGGUGGGAGGUCGGGGCCGAGCGAUGCGCGUUUCUCUCGUACACGUACGCGCGUGUGUGCGAGGCGUUGGCUCUAACUGAACCCGAGCGAGGUGUUGGGAUCUAACUAAACCCGAGCGAUUGCACUGCAGGCUACGCGUUACUGAACCCCAGCGAUCGAUCGAUGGGUGUUAACUGAACCCGAUCGAGCGAUUCCUUGGCUACUGCUGCUAAAUGAAGCCGAUCGAUGCUGCCUCUGGAUGAACAGUGAGCGUUGCGGGGGGGUUUGGAUGAACAGUUCCCGGUGGGGGUGGAUGAACAGGACCCCGUGGUGUUGCCACUGGAUGAACAGGACCCCGAUCGAUCGAGCCGGUUGGGGCUGGAUGAACAGGACCCCGUAGAGGGCUGGAUGAACAGGACCACCCCGUGGAGGGCAGGAUGAACAAUAGACGGUGGAGGGGUGCCCGUGGAGGGGUGGUUGAACAGGACCCGUGGUGUGGAGGGCUGGAUGAACAGUAGACGGUGGAGGGUUGUUGAAUAGUAGCUGGUGGAGUAGCGCGCGGUGGAGGCUGGAUGAACAGGAGCCCGUGGAGGCUGGAGGAGGUCGACGGUGGAUGAACAGUAGCUUGUGGAGGCUGCAGGGGGUCGACGGUGGAGAUGAACAGUAUCCCGUGGAGUCCCUUUUUGCGGUACGCCACACCUCUCCCGAUGAACAGGACCCCCGUUUCGACCGUAGUGCUCCAACACAGGUCCGUUUCCUCCGUUUUGCGGUACGCCACACCCCUCCCGAUCAACAGGACCCCCGUUUCGACCGUAGGAGGUCCGUUUCCUCUGUUUUGCGGUACGCCACACCCCUCCCGAUCAACAGGACCCCCGUUUCGACCGUAGGAGGUCCGUUUCCUCUGUUCUGUGGUACGCCACACCCCUCCCGAUCAACAGGACCCCCGUUUCGACCAUAGGAGGUCUGUUUCCUUCAUUUUGCUAUACGCCAGGCCUCGUUUCCAUCGCCUCUUCCGUCCAAGCCCUCCCGAUGAACACGACCACGCAUUCCGUUCCAACCCAUGAACACGACGACGAAGCUGUUUCUCCGUUUUGACCCAGCCAUGUACACGAACCCUCGCCGUACAUAUGCGCGAGUAGGCGUUUGAGACCCCGCCCGUAUGUACACAUACGUGGCCGUAUUUUCUUUGUUGCACCCUGGCCGUUGUACGUACGUGUACAUGCUAUGUGCGCACCUCUACUACGACACGUGCGCGCCUCUACAUCGACCAGUAUGUACGUACACGUUCGCGACCAGAAUGACAAUACUAUGUACGCUUCGACCAGGUGGGCCCCGACUGUCAGGCACUUCCUUGCCUGCGAAGAUGUAGUUGGUGGGUCCCAGCAGUCAGGGGGGCGAAAUACGGUGGCCCGUCCGAUGGGUCCCCGCUGUCAGGUGGAGGAAUAAUUGUUUUGCACGUAAUAAGGAGGCACUUCCUUGUUGCGGCCGUGGACCCAGCUGUCAGCCUCUCCACGUACAGUCCACGUCCGAUGGAAGCCGUUCCUUGACCACGUUGACCACGCUGCGCCGAGAGCACCAGGGCGGUGGACGACGGCGAGGCCUAGGAAGACUGUACGUGUACUUGGCAAUACAAGACUUGGUAGUUUAAUCCUGUCCACCUUACUAAUGAACUGGUUCACCGAAAUGAGUUUCAUAUACUAGUACAUGCUAAACUUGUUAUGUGUCUGCUUGUUUCUUCUUUUAGAAUGCUGACAGAAUAUUGGGAAAGAGUGCCUUAUUAAGCAAUGGUAAAGGAAGUAAUGCAGAUAAGGUUCAGGAUAGUGACACAUCCUGUCUUGGUUUGGUGUUCGAGUUACUGGCCACUACCGCUUGCACAAGCUAUUCAAACUCACUGUCUGAAUCAGUUCGGUUUCUUGAGUCUCAACUACAAGCUGAAAGACAUCGAUCAGUUGUGCUGCGACAAGAAGCAGAAGGACUGCGGAAGUCCCUGGAAUAUCCAGAUGCAUACUUUCUGGUGCAACAACAAGCGUUGGAGGAUUUUAGCGCCAAACAGGACAAAGCUAAUCAGCUUGCUAAGCUUAUUGCCAGCAUGGUGGAUACCCAGGAUAACGUUUCUUGAGCUCUUCUGAAGUUGUUUCAGUUAUGCUCUUGUUUUGCUGCCGCGUUUAUUUGCACUGGUGGCCAAUUUUGACGGCCAGUGUAUAUGAUAUGAUGCUUUGUUCCCUAUAUUUGCACUGGUGGUGAACUUUGAUGCCUAGUGGAUGUAAUAUGUGUAAUAGCCGUGAUAGCCUAGCGUUAGUUGCUUGCUUAUUUAUUUCCUUGUUGUCUUGUUUAUUUGUUUGCUUGUAGUCAUUGCAGUUCUUUUUCCGCGGUUAGCUAGUGGCUGCAAUAACCUAUUUUUUAAAACUAGGCCACAAUAACCAUGGGCUAAUAUUUACUGUAGUGAUACUGGGCCUCCUACUGGCCGUAGAAACAGUGGGCCUUCUACGGGCCGUAGAAACAAUGGGCCUUCUACGGGCUGUAGAAACAAUGGGCCUUCUGCGGGCCGUAUCAUCAAUGGGCCUUAUACGGGUCGUAUGAUCGAUUGCCAAACAUGGGCCAAACAGACCGCAUUAUGGCCGUAAACGGGCUAGAGUUGGAAUCGUCCGUUCAUGGGCCGACCAUAACGGGCCAUCGUUAAUAGGCUGUAUUUGAUGACGCUAUGAAAAUGGCCCAACGUAUUAACGGACCACAAACGGGCCGACUGUAACCACGGGCAGAAUUUGGCCCACAAGCAGAAAAUGACAGUAACGGGCCGUAAGUAAACGAAUGCUGGAAAUGAGCCCAAGAAUAAAUAGGCUCUGAGAAGGCCGAAAGAUAACAUGGGCUGGAAACGGCCCAACGGAAUAACGGGCUGUUAAUGGGUAUAAAGUGAUACACUAUUCUUUACGGGCCAGUUUCACCACGGGCCGUAAAUGGGUGUAAAGUGAUACAUUGUUCAUUACAGGCCAGUUUCACCACGGGCCAUUAAUAGGCCAAGAAUUACAUAGGGCCUCAUAUGGGCCGAAAGACGUCAUGGGCCAUACAUGGGCUAGAAGUGAAAACGGGCUGGAAUCAUAUUGGAUGGCCCAGAUGACGCUACUGGGCCUAAUUCGAAUAGGGCGUAACGGGCCUUGGGUUAGCGGGUUGUAAAUGGGCUACAUGCGAACAGGCCGUUAACAGGCUUUCCAUGGGCCGGCCCGCCACCUUUUGACCAAGUCAAACGGGCCGGCCUUUUCACAGGAAUGGGCCUCUGUUGGGCCGUGCCACGUGUCGACGUAUCAUAGGCGCAUAUCUGACCCACUGACGGACACGUGUUUCGUCCGGCCAAUAAGAAUUUUACACGUGGAAAUUUCCCAUUGGUCGGGGUUGUUAACGGGUUAUCAGAUCCAAAACCCGACCCGAUAGCUUAACGGCGUUCCGUUACGAUGGAUGCCACGUGUCGGUCACCCUUGACGAAAGCACUUCUGUGACGCGCGAUUUAUCGUCAUGGAAGUGGACACUUCCAUGAUGAUAAUUUUGGUAAUGUCAUGGAACACUUCUACGACAGCACAGGUAUGACUAUCUUGAUUCUGUCAUAAAUUUGUCAUGGAUGUACAUGCAUGACAAAAAACGCGACCUACUGUGACAAACACGUAUCAUCACGGAAGUGUAUUUUUUUGUAGUAGGAGUUGGUGUUGACGGUAGCAAGAUUGUUGAUGUAGAUUACCGUCACGAUCCUUGCCCCGACGGCACUCCAGCGCCACUUGGAGAGAGGGGGAGAGAGCCCCCCUCCUUCUUCUUGUUCCUUGGCCUCCCCCUAGAUGGGAGGAGAGUUCCCCCUCAGGUCCAUGGCCUCCAUGGUGGCGGAGGGGCGGGAGCCCCUCCAAGAUUGGAUCUGCCUCUCUAUUCCCUUCUGUUUCGCGUUUCCCGGAUAUGGCCCUUCACCGUUUCUUAAAUUCCCGGAGAUCUGUAACUCCGAUUGCGCUGAAAUUUUUACACGAUUUUUUUGUCAAUUAUCUUUAUUGUGCAUGAAGAAGGGCCCCAACCACCUUACGAGGAGGGCACAAGACACCUGGGCACGCCUGGCACCACCUGGCGUGCCCUGGUGUACCUUGGGGCCUGUGGGCCCCCGUUUACGUUGAUUCCACCUCCCAAAAUUCACAAAUAUUCCAAAAUAACUCUCGGUAAAUUUUUUCCAUUUGGACUUCGUUUGAUAUGGAUUUUCUGCAAAACAAAAACAUGCAACAAACAGGAACUGGCACUAGGCACUAGAUCAAUAUGUUAGUCCAAAUAAAUCAUAUAAAAUGUUGCCAAAAGUGUAUAAAGUUGUAUAAUAUUGGCAUGAAACAAUCAAAAAUUAUAGAUACGACGGAGACGUAUCAGAGAGCUUGCAAAUCGCAGGGGACACAGAGGAUGCAAAAAUCAUGCUUGACGGACAAAAGGCUCUUGGACGCGGAGGAUACAUAUUUCUGGAUGAGCAUGCUUAGAUUGGACAUGAACUCCUUCAUCCAGACUCCUUCUGGGCCCUCUCGAGAUUCCUGUAGAGCACCUUUAUGAUCACCCAGUUACGAAGUGAUGUUUGAUAGCACCCUGUGUGAUGGAGAGAUACCUCUGGGCCCUCUCGGUAAUACAACAUCACAAGAAGCUCCAUGUGACUAAUGAGUUUAGUCACGGGUAUCUUGUACUAAGGAACAAGUAAAGAGACUUGUCGGUAACGAGAUUGAACUAGGUAUGGAGAUAUCGACGAUCGAAUCUUGGGCAAGUAACAUAUCACCGGACAAAGGGAAUUGCACAUGGGAUUAACUGAAUCUUUGACAUCAUGGUUCAAUCGACAAAGAUCUUAGUGGAAUAUUUAGGAACUAAUAUGGGCACCCAGGUCCCGCAAUUGGUUAUUGACCGGAGAUGAGUCUUGGUCAUGUCUACAUGAUUCUUGAACCCGUAGGGUCGCACACUUAACGUUCAAUGACACUAGGGUGGUAUUGGGAUAAUUGAUGUUGGUGAUCUAAUGUUUUUUGAAGUCUCGGAUAAUAUCUGGGAUAUAACAAGGAGCUCCGAAAUGGUCUGGAGGUAAAGAUUUAUAUAUGGAAAGUCAUUUUUGGGGUUCCAAAAAAAGUACGAUUUUUUCCGGUAUUGUACUUGGAAGCUUCCAAAAGGUUCCGAAGGGGUCCGGAACUCCACGAGGGGUUCCACCAUGUCCCAAAGGCCAGCAUGGGCUAAGGGGAGGUGCCCUGUCCUUAUUGGGCCAGGCGCACCAGCCCUCCUUAUGCCCAUGUGGCCAGGGGUGGGAAAACCCUAAGGGGAGGACACUACUAGGGAAAAGCCUAGCAGCAGCGCGGGUUUUGGGCAUCUCACUAGUGCGGGGACCGGCGCUACAGCUAAAGUAUAGCAGUAGCGCCUGUUGUCCCACGCUACUGCUAUACAUGAAUAGCUGUAGCGCUCUUUAGAAAAGGGUGCUGCUGAUAUUAUCCGCAGCGCUGUUUACUGGGAAGCGCUACUGGUAAGGCGGCGCUACUACUAAAUUUUCCCCCCUCGCUACUACUAGUUUUAUUAGUUUUUUUCCUGCAUAUUUGUUUUGUAUUUGUUUUGUAUUUGAAUAGGCUUUAUACAAUAAUCUUUAGCAUAUCAUACACAUACAAAUGUAAUCAUAGCAUAUACAUACAAUUAGUCUCAUCAAAUCAUGUCAUCAUCAUAAUCAUCAUCGAACACAAAGUGGUCUCUCGUCAUCAUCUUGAAAAUAGCGAUACAAGUCUCGAUUACUUGCAAAUACAUCGUCAUCCAUCUAAACAAUGAUAUACGCGAGAAGAGCUAUCACUUUGAGUACAUGAGUUCGUAUCCCUCUCUCGCAUUAGCGUGAACCUAAACUAACUACUGCCUGUCGCUCGGAAACCGGAAACCGGUACACCUGGGCCUGACACUCCGGCCACUUGUCGUAUAUAUACUCCUGGCGUAGCACUUCUUCGCCAUCUAUGAUCUAUGCACCUGCAUCGUCACAUGAGUCGAUGAUAUGCAACAUAUAUAGUUGAGCAACAGAAAGAGAUAGACUUGGCAAAAAUAGAAACAACAUAUCAUAAGCAUAAAUAACAAAGUUCAUCGUACCCCAAAAUGCCCUAACUAGAGUGAUUUUCGCUAGUCGAGGAGGAGGACAGUUUAGUUACAUCACAAAUAAAGUUUCACCAUGCAUAACUCAAAGUUUUGUCAUACAGAAAGUAUGGACUAAACGGACACAUUGUCAUAUAUCGACAAUCACUCCAACAUGUCUUUCCAUCCAUCCAAGUCAGGGAGAUAGUCCCCGAGCCUAGUGAAAGGCUUCAGGUCGAGACGCUAAGAGGCUACCCGUGUUCGGAUGUCUUCCCACGACAUUUGUCCUUCUCCGUAGAACAUCCCUGUUUUUCCGACGACCUCCUUCAUGAUGAUUUGGGCAAGUAUGUGUUGGAUGUUAUAGAACUCAGCUCGAAGUCGAUGAUCCUCGAUAUCUCCUAUGUCCUUUGCCCAUUGCAGAAUAUGGGCAUCGCCGAAUCUAGGUGACAUGCGAAGGUUCUGGUGAUCCCGUCUAUACUCCAGCAUGUGGUGUAGGACAUAGAAUCCAUCAUUAAGAGAAUCGUUCGGUUGCUGGAUGCAGCAGAAGUCGGUCUUAUGGCCGAAGGUGACCCUGUCGCCCCUUCUCUUCUUGUCCCUGACCUCUCCACCCCUUGCUUGGUAGUAAAACAUAGCACUGUCGAGAACAUCCUUCAUGUGGGUGUAAUCCUUUUUGUGAAUGUUCUUCAACGUGUCCAAGUAAAGAGCGUGGGAGAAUCGGGGGUAGAGGAUGAUGAGGACGGAGCGCCCGCCGCUGCGCAAAAUAAGUACACCCCAAAUUAAUUAGCCUCCACCGUGCAAAUGAAUGAUUGAAAUCGAAGGAAGGAUAGCAGCGCGGAUGACUUACACGGGAUGAUAAGGCACGAGAAUCGCCUCCUUGUCCUUAUUGGCGAGCAUGAAACUGACGAUGUAAUCCCUCGCAUAUUCACGGUGCUUUGCGCAGACUCCCAAGAAGCCCUCGUGCAUGUAGUACGGGUCAGCGACACAGAUAUGAGAUAUCUGCUCAACCCCGAUGAUCACUAGUAGAAAAGGGGGCAAUGGUCCAGGCCGGGUCAGCCCAUUAGUCCCGGUUCAGUCUAGAACCAGGACCAAUGGGGGCAUUGGACCCGGUUCGUGAGCCCAGGGGGCCGGCCGGGCCACAUGGGCCAUUGGUCCUGGUUCGUCUGGACCUUUUGGUCCCGCUUGGUGGGACGAACCGGUACCGAUGGGCCUGGCUCCUGGCCCACCACCAUUGGUCCCGGUUGGUGGCCUGAACCGGGACCAAAGGCUGCCCUUUAGUCCCGGUUCAGGCCACGAACCGGGACCAAUGAGGUGCCUAUAUAUACCCUCGCCCACGAGCAGAGCACUCCAGUGCUCUGUUUUUCUCUGGCCGGCGAGGGGAGGGGUUUGUGGUGCUCUAGCUCACCUCCUAUGCACAUGAGGUGUUCGAUGAAAUGCCCGAGCCACACUAGUUAAGCUUUCUCCUCUCGAAGCUCGACCUCAAAGCUCCAUUUUCCUCAAGAUUUGUCUAGAUUUAGCGGUCUGUCACGCCCCACCCCCGUCUUCACCGCCGUCGAUCACCCGCGCCGAUCUCAUCGCCGACACCACCGUGGUGAGCCUCUUGUUCUUAUCUUCUUUCUGAAAGGAAAAAUAUUCUUACUUGUAUGUUUAGAUAGAUACUUGUAUCAUUUUCUUACUUUUAUUAUUGCAUCUUAUAUAGUGCGAUGGUUUUGGUAUCCGCCCCCGUCGGCCCUCGUCCUGUCUAUGAUUCGGAUGUGGUAUAUAUAUUAAUCUUUAUAACUAUUGGUUCAUUUAUUAUUUAUGAAAAUUAUGCGGACCAACGUGACAUAGAUUUUAUUUAUCUAGGAUGUAUGUGAACCGGAAAUUCCAACCGACCCUAUUGUCGAGAGGUUAAAUUUAGUUGAAGAAGAAAACAAUUUCUUGAAGGAAAAAGUAAAAAAAAAUGAGGAGGAGAAGAUGAUAUUGGAGUUGCAUGUUGCGGAUGUCGUCGAUGAUCACAAGAUCAAGAUGGAUGCAAUGCGCUUGAAGAUUAGAAAGAUUAGAAAAUAUGCCAUUCAUACCGAGGCUUGGUAUCAUUAUGCCGUUGGAUCAAUUGUUACCUUGGUUGCGAUUAUGAUCGCCUUUGUUUUCGCAUUUAAAUGUUUUACAUAGUUUCAAUGUAUGGUUUAAUUAAUUAGAUGCUCUGGAGAGCUAUAUGUUGUUAGAUGAGAAGUAUGUAUGUACUUUGGUUUUAAUGUGAUGAUGAACUUCUAUUAAUUUGGACACUUAAUGCACGCAGAUGAACCGGCAAUGGAUGUACGGUGACAGACACACCUCCGAGUACAUUAAGGGCGUGCAUGAGUUUCUCGAUGCGGCUGAGGCAAACAAGCAGAAUGGUUUUAUGUGUUGUCCAUGCCCUGAUUGUGGGAAUAUGAAGUCUUACUCUAACCGGAAAAUCCUUCACACCCACCUGCUUUACAAGGGUUUCAUGCCACACUAUAAUGUUUGGACGAGGCACGGAGAAAUAGGGGUUAUGAUGGAAGACAACGAAGAAGAAGAGUACGAUGACAACUAUGUGCCCCCUGAAUACCGUGAUGCUGCAACGGGGGGAGCUUGUGAAGAUCAAGAGGAACUAGACGAUGUGCCCAAUGAUGCUGCAACGGGUGAAGCUGCUGAAGAUCAAGAGGAACCAGACGAUGUGCCCGAUGAUGAUGAUCUCCGCCGGGUCAUUGUCGAUCCAAGGAUGCAAUGCGAAAGUCAAAAGGAGAAGCUGAAGUUCGAUCGCAUGUUAGAGGAUCACAAAAAAGGGUUGUACCCCAAUUGCGAAGAUAGCAACACAAAGCUCGGUACCAUACUGGAAUUGCUGCAAUGGAAGGCAGAGAAUGCUGUGCCUGACAAAGGAUUUGAGAAGCUACUGAAAAUAUUGAAGAAGAAGCUUCCAAAGGAUAACGAAUUGCCCGACAGUACAUACGCAGCAAAGAAGGUCGUAUGUCCUCUAGGAUUGGAGGUGGAGAAGAUACAUGCAUGCCCUAAUGACUGCAUCCUAUACCGUGGUGCAUACAAGGAUCUGAAUGCAUGCCCGGUAUGCGAUGCAUUGCGGUAUAAGAUCAGACGAGAUGACCCUGGUGAUGUUCACGGCGAGCCCCACAGGAAGAGGGUUCCUACGAAGGUGAUGUGGUAUGCUCCUAUAAUACCACGGUUGAAACGUCUGUUCAGAAACGGAAAGCAUGCCAAGUCGAUGCGAUGGCACAGUGAGGACCAUAAGAAAGACGAGAAGUUGAGAGCACCCGCUGACGGGUCGCAGUGGAGAAAAAUCGUGAGAAAGUACUGGGAUGAGUUUGCAAAGGACCCAAGGAACGCAUGGUUUGCUUUAAGCGCGGAUGGCAUUAAUCCUUUCGGGGAGCAGAGCAGCAAUCACAGCACCUGGCCUGUGAUUCUAUGUAUGUAUAACCUUCCUCCUUGGAUGUGCAUGAAGCGGAAGUUCAUUAUGAUGCCAGUUCUCAUCCAAGGCCCUAAGCAACCCGACAACGACAUUGAAGUGUACCUAAGGCCAUUAGUUGAAGAACUUUUACAGCUAUGGAAUGGAAAUGGUGUACGUACGUGGGAUGAGCACAGACAAGAGGAAUUUAACCUAAAGGUGUUGUUGUUUGUGACCAUCAACGAUUGGCCCGCUCUCAGUAACCUUUCAGGACAGACAAACAAAGGAUACCACGCAUGCACACACUGUUUAGAUGACACUGAAAGUAUAUACCUGGACAAAUGCAGGAAGAAUGUGUACCUGGGCCAUCGUCGAUUUCUUCCGACCAACCAUCAAUGUCGAAAGAAAGGUAAGCAUUUCAAAGGCGAGGCAGAUCACCAGAAGAAGCCCGCCAUGCGUACCGGUGAUCACGUACCUGCUAUGGUCAAUGAUUUACACGUAAUCUUUGGAAAGGGACCCGGCGCACUAGCUGUUCCGAAUGACGCUGAGGGACACGCACCCAUGUGGAAGAAGAUAUCUAUAUUUUGGGACCUACCCUACUGGAAAGACCUAGAGGUCCGCUCUUCAAUCAACGUGAUGCACGUGAUGAAGAACCUUUGCGUGAACCUACUAGGCUUCUUGGGCGUGUAUGGAAAGACAAAAGAUACACCUGAGGCACGGGAGGACCUGCAACGUUUGCACGAAAAAGACGGCAUGCCUCCGAAGCAGUAUGAAGGUCCUGCCAGCUACGCUCUUACGAAAGAAGAGAAAGAAAUCUUCUUUGAAUGCCUGCUCAGUAUGAAGGUCCCGACUGGCUUCUCGUCGAAUACAAAGGGAAUAAUAAAUAUCCCAGAGAAAAAGUUCCAGAACCUAAAGUCUCAUGACUGCCACGUGAUUAUGACGCAACUGCUUCUGGUUGCAUUGAGGGGGCUUCUACCGGAAAAUGUCCGAUUAGCCAUUGUGAAGCUAUGUGCAUUCCUCAAUGCAAUCUCUCAUAAGGUGAUCGAUCCAAAAAUCGUACCAAGGCUAAGGAGUGAUGUGGCGCAAUGUCUUGUCAGUUUCGAGCUGGUGUUCCCACCAUCCUUCUUCAAUAUCAUGACGCAUGUCCUAGUUCAUCUAGUCGACGAGAUUGUCAUUCUGGGGCCCGUAUUUCUACACAAUAUGUUCCCCUUUGAGAGGUUCAUGGGAGUCCUAAAGAAAUAUGUCCGUAACCACGCUAGGCCAGAAGGAAGCAUCUCCAUGGGCCAUCAAACAGAGGAUGUCAUCGGGUUUUGUGUUGACUUCAUUCCUGGCCUUAAGAAGAUAGGUCUCCCUAAAUCGCGGUAUGGGGGAGACUGACUGGAAAAGGCACGCUAGGAGCGGACUCAAUAAUAUGCAGGGACGGGCAUUCUUGGUCUCAAGAACACUACACAGUUCUACAGAACUCUACCUUGGUGACCCCGUAUGUCGAUGAACACAAGAACAGUCUGCGCUCCAAACACCCGGAGCAGUGCGACGACUGGAUUACAUAUGAACACAUUAGGACUUUCAGUAGUUGGUUGGAAGCACGUCUCAGAGGUGACAACACUGUUUGUGAUGAGUUGUACUUGUUGUCCAGGGGACCAUCUUUGACUGUAUUGAUUUACAAAGGAUACGAGAUAAAUGGGAAUACAUUUUACACGAUUGACCAAGAUCAAAAGAGCACCGACCAAAACAGCGGUGUCCGCUUUGAUGCAACAACCGAGAAGGGAAAGGACACAUUUUAUGGUUACAUAGUGGACAUAUGGGAACUUGACUACGGACAAGAUUUUAAGGUCCCUUUGUUUAAGUGCAAAUGGGUCAAUCUGUCAGGAGGCGGGGUACAUGUAGACCCAUAGUACGGAAUGACAACAGUGGAUCUGAAAAAUCUUGGGUACAUUGACGAACCAUUCGUCCUAGCCAAUGAUGUGGCACAGGUUAUCUAUGUGAAGGACAUGUCUACCAGACCGAGAAAAAGAAAAGAUAAGGAAGCGAAUACAUCAUACGAUGAGCCAAAGCGCCACAUAGUUCUUUCAGGAAAAAGGGACAUCCUCGGAGUGGAGGGCAAGACAGACAUGUCUGAAGAUUAUGAAAGGUUUCAUGAAAUUCCUCCCUUCAAUCUUAAGGCUGACCCAAGCAUCCUGAUAAACGCUGAAGAUUAUCCAUGGUUACGGCGCAAUAAGCAAAUGACACAAGCAAAGAAAAAGUGAAGACUUUCUCCCGCAACUAUUAUGAUGAUGCCAUGCCAAAUUUGUAACAGACGAGUAUUCUAUGCCAACUUUUUUAGAGUUCAUUUGAAAACUAUGAAUUUAGGUCGAAUUUUCUCUAUAGGUGCAUCUAUGUUCAUUUUUUUAGUAAAGUUAAUCACAAACUUGUGAUUCACACAAAUUUCAAAGAAUUCAAAUUUUAACUAUUCAAAUUUGAAAACUAAUGGCAGUAACAGAAAGUUUAUAUUUUUUCUAAAACUAAUGGCACUAACAGAAAGUUUAUAAUUUUGCUGACCUAAAAGCAAAAAGAAUUAAAAAAUAAAGCAAAAAACAAAAGAAAAUAAAUAAUACAGAAAACAAAACAAAAAAACUAGAAAAAAAAUAAAAAUAGCAACAAUAAGUAUUUUGUUGUAAGUAGAAACAAAAUAAAAUAAAUAAAGCAACAAAGAAAACUAGUGAUUCACACAAAUUUUAAAAAAUUCAAAUUUAAACUAUUCAAAUUUUAAAACUAAUGGCACUAACAGAAAGCAAAAANNNNNNNNNNNNNNNNNNNNNNNNNNNNNNNNNNNNNNNNNNNNNNNNNNNNNNNNNNNNNNNNNNNNNNNNNNNNNNNNNNNNNNNNNNNNNNNNNNNNNNNNNNNNNNNNNNNNNNNNNNNNNNNNNNNNNNNNNNNNNNNNNNNNNNNNNNNNNNNNNNNNNNNNNNNNNNNNNNNNNNNNNNNNNNNNNNNNNNNNNNNNNNNNNNNNNNNNNNNNNNNNNNNNNNNNNNNNCAAAAAACAAAAGAAAAUAAAUAAUGCAGAAAACAAAACAAAAAAACUGGAAAAAAAUUAAAUAUAGCAACAAUAAGUAUUUUGUUGUAAGGAGAAACAAAAAAACAAAAAAACAAAAAAAAAGUGCCACCUACUGAGCACCCACGGCCUGAAUACGACUAGAAACCCUACCAUGGGCCAGGAUUCAGGCCCGCGGGAGGCCCAGUAGGACCACAGGCACACAUUGCACGGUUAGGCCCGAAAGCCUGCUUUAGAGAGGAGCUCGAGAGGGAAGGCGCACCGCACCUUAUAAACAGGUGCGGCUCCCUCUCAACUAGCGAGGUGGGACUAAACAUUUGGGCGCGGGGCAGCACAAGGCCUUUGGCCCCGGUUCCUGGCAUAAACCAGGACCAAUUUGGAAGUGGCGGCCUUUGGUCCCGAUUGGUGGCACCAACCGGGACUAAAGGGGGGCAUUGGUCCCGGUUUGUGCGACGAACCGGGACCAAUGCGCCAUCUAUAUAAGCAAGACUUGUGAAAAAUUUCGUUCAGUUCUUCGAUCCCGCCCGGACGACGCCGCCAGGCUGCCCCUCUGCGCCUCGUCGUCGCCCUGCCUCCGAUGCCGUCCCGCGCCGCCCCGACGCCGUCGCCACCCCCGCACCGCCCCNNNNNNNNNNUGCCAUCGCCACCCCGCGCCGCCCCACGUCGCGCCCCGACGCUGUCGCCGCCCCGCCUCUGCCUCGCCGUUGCCUCUGCCUCGCCGCGCCCCAGCUGCCCCGCACCGCCGUCGUCGCCUCUGCCUCGCUGUGGUCUGGGCCGGCACCGCCCCCCUCUUCCCCCUUUUUUUUGCAAACACAUAUAUGUUUUUUUUCUGCAGAUUAUAUGUAUAUGUAUGAGUAUAUGAUGAUGUAUGAGUAUAUGUAUGUGCUGAAAAGAUAGAUUUUUAGAAAAAAAUACUAUUUUUUCUGUUGAUGAUAUGAUGAUGUUUUUUUCAUAUAUGCAUUUUUUCAUAUAUGUAUUAAUUUUUUUUAAGUUGUUAGUAGAUAUCGAUUUUAGGUUAGUGCAUUUUAUCACUGAUUUUAGGUUAGUUGAUCGAUUUAGUGCAUUUUAUGUUUGUUGCAUUUUAUGUUUGUUGCAUUUUAGGUUAGUGCAUUUGCUAAGUGAUAUUAAGAAAGGAAGGAAAAGAAGGAUAGGAAAGAAGAUAAUAAGAAGAGGAAAGAAAGAACAAGAGGAGAGGAAGAAAAGGAGAAAUAAAUAAGAAGAAGAAAAAAGAAGAAAAAGAAGAGGAGAAGAAGAAAGGAAUAGUGUUCUAUUUUCUCUUCUUCUCCACUAUUCCUUUCUUCUUCUCCUCUUUUUUUCUUCUUUUUUUCUUCGAUCUUCUCCUCUAGCUAUUCCUUUCUUCUUCUCCUCUUUUUUCUUCUUCUUCUUCUUAAUUUUAUUGGGAACGAGGGUGUCGAGGAUCGCCAAGGGGUCGAGGGUCGGGAACUAGGGUAGAGGGUCGAGGGUUCGAGGGUUCUAUAGGGUCGAGGGUUCCAGGGUCGUCUAGGGGUCGAGGGUUCCAGGGUCGGGAACUUUGGAGAGCAUGAGAGGAAGAAGAGGAUAAAAAAAGAAGAGGAAGAAGAAAAAAAAGAGGAGAAGAAAGAAUAGAGGAGAAGAUCUCCUCUAUUCUUUCUUCUCCUCUUUUUUUUCUUCUUCUUCCUCUUUUUUUUAUCGGGAACGAGGGUCGUCGAGGGACAUAGAUGUAGUGUCGCCGUUGUCGAUAUACCCCCUCCCGAUAGCUUCAACACGUGGGGGGGUCGAUAUUACCCCCUCCUUGAAGCGUUCUCGAGGCCACCCCAAACCCUUGAAGCAUUGUCGAGGCCACCCCAAACCCUAGAGAAGCAGCGUCGAGGCCACUAAUUAAUAUAUAUGAUUCCUUACUAUGAUUAGCUAGCUAGUUCUACGUUUGCCACUAAUAUAUCCAUAUGUCAUGUUUAAAUAAUAAUUGCCAUGUUGUAAAUAUUUGUAGAAACUAUGGACACCGCCUGAGACGAAGCAAACGAAGCGUUGUUGAGGGACAUAAUCGUAGAAGGAAGUGAUGUCGUCUCGUUGUUUCUCAACGACAUCGAUGGUCUGGAAGGAGAGGGUGAAGAAGCUGGCUCUAGUAACCUAAUGCCGGUGCAAGAAGAAGAACAUGAGGAGGGCUCUGGUGACCCAAUGCCGGUGCAAGAAGGAGACCGUGAUGACGGCUCCGGUGACCGAACCGAGUCCGGCCAGGUAUAUAUAUUAGUUAAGCCUGUGCUGACUAGCUAAUUGAUGCAUUCAUUGUUUUGGUAUGUACACAUAUUAACUAAGUCUUUGUUAUUUUUUCUAGCCCUCCGGAUCGAGCACAACUGAGGUAAAGAGACGAGGCCCGAAGAAAAAGUUGAGAUCGGAUGAAAGGUUUGAGAUCAUAGCAAUCGUGCCCGACGGCCAACCGAUUGAACCCAUCCGAACAAAGAACGCAUUUGUUGCUCAGUGCGGGGUUCUGGUUAGGGACAAGAUCCCGAUCAGCAUCCAGCAAUGGUUAAAGCCGGCUACAGAAGACCCUGAGGUGUCUUACGUCAAUGAUAUGCAGAAAAAUGAUCUUUGGACUGAGCUGAAGUCAAAUUUCACCCUACCGCCAGAGGAUGAUCCGGAGAAGCCAGUUCAAGAGCAAUUAAUCAAGUCUUUUGCUCUUAAGAGGAUGGCAGACCUAUUUAGGAGGUGGAAGAAAGACCUGAAUACGUUUGUCGAGAAAAAAGAGACACUAGAAUUCACGGGCAGAUAUGAGAAGAUCAGAGAUGACUGGCCUGCAUUUGUGGCCCACAAGACAUCGGAAAAGAGUAAGAAGAUGUCGGCAACAAACAAGAAAAAUGCUGCGAAGAAGAAGCUUCACCAUCGCACGGGGUCAGGUGGCUACCUCGUAGCCCGGCCUAAGUGGGCCAAGGCUGAGAAUGAUAUGGUUGAAAAAGGGAUCGAACCAGAGACAAUGAACUGGCCAGACCGUUGCCGGACUUGGUUCUUCGGGGCUGGCGGAACCUUGGACCCUGUAACAGGGAAGUGCAUUUGGACGGACGAGCAACUUGACAUACCCUUGAAGAAGCUUCGGUACUAUAUCGCUGGAGCACAGAAAUGGACGUUCCUUCCAGACAGAGAGAACGACGAGCUCACAAAGGCCCUCGGAAAUCCUGAGCACCCUGGACGGACACGAGGCACGCCAGGCUCCAUUCUGUGGAAGGCUGGGUUUCCGGACGCAGGCGGUUACAAAAGCCACGAGAGGAGGAAAAAAUUGCAGCAGAUCGAACUACAGGCGAUGCACGCAAGGGUACAAGCGAUAGAGGAAUGAGAAGCAAAUCGCAGCAAACGACUUGCCGAAGCUUCCCCUGAAGCUACCCCGCCAUCUCAGCGGAGAAGCAGUGUGGCUUCCACCGAGCUGCUUCAGCCGGAGCUUGUCUUGACGGCUCCUGCUAGCUAUCCCGUGGAUGCUAUCACAGAGGCUCAAAAUUGCCACCUUAUGAUGCAAUGGAUUAAUAUGAAGGUCAAGGCGGCUGUUGGCUCUGUUUUUCCUAAUGAACCCGGUGCAACUUUUCACUGCCGGUCGAUUCCAGAAGGAUAUGCUAAGGUAAUGGUGGAUGAAAUAACAGAGGGAUUUGAGGACCUCCCGCUUGACCAUCCUACCGGAGAAGGGGAGACUCGGCUGGGUUCUUCUUUGAAGACUCCAUGCCUAUGGCGGAAGGAGCUCAUCAACCUUCCAAACUGGACGCCUCCGCCUCCUCCUCCUCCUCCUCCGGCGAGUCAGGGCACUCCGCCUCCUCCUCCGGCGAGUGACGAUCAGGGCCCUCGGCCGGCUCCUUCUUCGGUGCGUGGCGGCACUCCGCCUCCUUCUCCGCCUGCGCCGGCGCGCCUGAGCAGCCAGCCUCCUCCUUUUCCGCCUCAUCAGCAAGGGCGGAAGAGACCCGCCGCCGCUCCGGCAGCUGCUCCGGCGCGUCGUAGUCCUUCUCCUCCGCCUCGUAAGCAAGUAAAGAAGACUGUCGCUCCGUCUUCUCUGCCGGUGUCUAGCAGUACAGCCAGAGGCGGGAGGACAUACAGAUUCGGUCCUUCUCUGAAGACUCCAGAGAAGUUGCCAUACGAGAUGACCCCGGAGGAGAACGCGAAGAUCGCGCGAACCGAGGUGAAGGACUGGUUUCAAGGGUUCAAAGCAAAGAGACAUCCACCUCCGGAGGAGAAGGUAGAUCCGAUGAAAGUGAAGCGCACUCUGGCUGCCCUGGCAAAACCACCCAAGUCUCCGCCGAAAGGCAACUAUGAGCGCAUUAUUGCAAAGACAUGGGCCGAAGCGGAGCGGUCGGGAAGUACAGUCAGUGAUAAAAGGAUGAAAGAACGACGAGCAGCUGGGAAACAAAUUGCCCAGCUCGGCGAACAAGCGAAGCAAUCGUGCCCCCCGCUCAAGGUGCCUAGCGACAUCGUCGAUCCGAGGAUGGUGCCCGGUUAUAGCAAUCUUGACGAUUACCUGCCCGACGAUGUACAUUAUGAUCCCAUGGACGUGCAGAUACACAGAUACGAGUACGGGAAGCCUCUCGUCAAAGAUGAAAAAUCUCUAUCAACGAUGAUGCGAAGAUUGCAUGACUGGUACUUGAAAAUCUGCAGAGUCUGGGGGGAGGAGUACUUUGUAUGCGAGAGUUAAACCGGAGCAUGACCUCUUUGGAAUUGAACUGUUGCCUAUUCCAUUUGAGGGGUUCUAUCAGUUUUUCAAUCAAUUGGCCCUCGAUAAAGCAACGGUCACCUGCUACUAUCUGUAAGUACUACUACUUCUGUCAUUAAGUCUCUCUAUAUAUCUCAGCUCUUUCAUUGCACGUAUUUAUAAUUAUCCUCACUAUAUUAUGCAGAUUGAAGAUCGCCGAAUUGAAGAAAAGACAAAUCGGUGAUAUUGGGUUCGUUAACACAUAUCUCAUAGAUGCAACUGAGGUUGACAAAAGGCCCGAAGAAACCGAGGCCAACUUGCUACGAUCAUUCAAAAUAAAUGAACACAAAGAUAUAAUACUCUUUCCUUACAACUUCAAGUGAGUGUUACUGUCUUGUGCAUAUUCGGUUUCCCUUAUAUAUUAGUCCAGGUUAUAGUAAUGUAAUUGAUGAGUUAUGCAUGCGUGCGCAGUUUCCACUAUAUUCUCCUAGAGAUUAUGCUUGAGAAGGGAGUAGUAACUGUCUUGGACUCUAGACGAAAAGAUCCCCAGGAGUAUGCGGACAUGACUGAAAUCCUCAAGAAGUAAGUUAAAUCGAUCAUUAUCCACCAUAUCAGCAACUUUGUUCAUUUCCUGGUAUCAAGUAAUUGUUUUCUUUGUCCGGCAGGGUUUGGAGAAAAUUCACCAGAAAAGCUCCGGGACUGCCGAAGGAGCUGCAAUUUAGACACCCGAAAGUAAGUAGUAUAGUAGCAUGUUCCGCGCAUCUCCUAGUGAUUGAAGUGCUAGUUUCAUCAAUACCAUUUGGCAUUCUUGCUUAUCAGUUUGAUUGACCUCUAUUUCUUGUAAAGUGGUUGUGGCAGGAACAAGGGAAUGAUUUCUGUGGAUACUACGUCUGCGAGUCCAUCCUCCACACAACCUGUGAGCGGGGCGGGUACUCUGACGAACAAUAUGAAGUGCGUAAAUAACAAUAUUCAUAAUUUUAUUUUAUUACCAUCAUUUGUGUUGAGUUUCAUUCAUUCAUAUAUAUAUGUAUUGACCCCCUUCUUCAAAUUAGAUGUUUCGGAUGCGGAAUGAACUCCUAGCACCAGAUCGCAUGCGAGCAAUUCAAGAGGAAUUGGCGGCAUUCUUUCUUGACCACGUGAUCGCUGAAGACGAAGAAUACUAUGUGGACCAUGCUUCCAUAAUGUAGGAGAUUAUAUUUGUAAGAGAUAAUUAUUGUAUAUAUGUAGCCGCUAGUGUCGGACGAUAGAUAUACGAGAACUUGUUGUUCGACCAAUCUCUCGGAGAAGGACAGGUGGUCGAUAUCACUUCUCUCUGUAUGCAUAUAUGUUCAUGACGAUCUUCUGUUUCCUUCAUUUGCUUACUAGCUAGCUAGCGUGUCUAGUCCUCUCUAUACGUAUGUAUAGUAUACGUAGCGUCGACCAAGCACGGACAUAAGAGAGGACACUUCUCUCUAUUAAUUAGCUAUCUAACACAAUAUAUGAAAUACCUAAAUUAACCCCCCAAAACCCCCAACCCCCCCCUUCAAAAAAACAAAAACCCCAGCCACAGAAAUGCUGACGCGUGGAGGCCUAUUGGUCCCGGUUGGUGCCACGAACCGGGACCAAAGGCACUCCUGCCUGGGCUCAGCGCGCAGGCCACGUGGAGGCCCAUCUGUCCCGGUUCUGGUUAGAACCAGGACUAAAGGGUCAGGGCAUUAGUAACGACCCUUUAGUCCCGGUUCUGGAACCGGGACAAAAGGCCCUUACGAACCGGGACAAAAGGCCCGUUUUUCUCCUAGUGGAUGUAGUUCAUGUGCAAGGCAUAAAGGCGGACAAACGUAAAAUCCAGCUUCUUCACGUGAAACAUGUCGAAUAUGUAAUCGAAUCGGAGGAAGAACUUAUCCACGGGGAAGCUGUCGACAUACGACAUUUGCCGCGGAAAGUUAACCACGUAGAGUGGGUAUCCUGGAUCUUUCGAGGCGAUGAGUCCUUUCUCUACCCGCAGCACAUCGUCAUGAAGUCUCCUUAGAUCGCCGAAUCUGACCCAUAGCGCUGUUGCAGGUAGGAUUGGUUGACCGGGGAUAUGCCAUUUAUCCGCAUCGGGGAUAUCUAUACGGUCCUGAAGCCGAGGCUGCUGAGGCGGCUGGAUCAUAGAAUCAGCUUUUUUGCCUUUCCUCGCUCUCUUCCUAGACUUCUUUACUACCGGAAGGUCGUCCAUAAUAUGUUGAGACGGCAAUUCAGGCACCAACUCAUGACGCUCAAACCCUGAGGAGGCGCCAGUAUAGACAUACUGUUCAGCGCCAUCGUCGUCCUCAUCCUCAUCCAUGGCGACGUCAUCAGCGACUAAUGGAGCCUCCUCCUUACCCCGUCCGCUAUCACCCAACCCGACACCCGACGCUAAUUGGGUAGGUGGGGUGUUGAUGUUCAUACCUUGUUGAGGCUGCGUGCUCGUGGGUGUGCUCCCGGCCGCCUCCAGACGAAGCGGACUCUUUAGCCACAACAGGACCCACCCAUUGCAACAAUCACCAAGCCGCCGCGGUGUCUCGUCGUCAUCCCCCACUAGUAUUGGAGGAGGCAAAUUCUCGUGGCCCGGUUUGACACUGGCCACGGAAACCUUGAAGACGUUCGGGGGGGUCGGCCGGCUGUGGAACAAUGGUUCCUUCAGCUCCAUUAUCGUCACCUUCCCCACGUCCACCUUCUGGUCGCCGAUGGUGUACAAUAUGGUGCACGGGGUUUCGUCGGCCUGCAAAGAAAAGUCUGCGACGUGAGACAUCCGAAAGGCAACGAAAACGACAGAUUAUACAUUUAUAUUGAAGGGGGCCGGUGUGACAGAUACCGUGAGGGCGUCGAGCUUAGCCAAAGACGAAGCACCACCGAGCACGUCCGGUGCGGGAGCAGGUGCGGGAGCCGGUGCGGGAGCAGGUGCUGGUGCAACGCUAGUCGAGCUGCUCCCCAAGAAGUCAGCAAGGGGAAAGUCCUCUGCAUUUUUUUCGGAUUUUUCCUUGUCCAAGUGAAAACGCCCGUCACCAAGGAAGUAGACAAAUCUGCAACCACCUAUUUUGCGGCAGCUACCGCUGUUGCGACUGUCUGAGAUGAUUUCUUCUCAACCGCAAUCUCAACCUUCUUGUCGAUGUUUUCUUCAGUUAACCUCUGUCUUUCCUUUCUCUCCUCCGUGGUCUCACGGUAGUACUUCUUCCACGUGGCGCCGUCUCCGACACCGUGCACGCGUCCAUACGACGGUCGAGUAUCCACCGGUUGUCGUUUCAAUAUGUUCAACGCCCGGUUGAAUGGAGUGUCCCACUUGGGCCUCGCUAAUGCCUCAGACGGCGAGUCGCUUUUGGCCGCAAUCCGGUGCUGCUCUCUCUGCAAAAGGCACAAGGAUCGUUUACAAAUAUGACUAACGUGUGCAGUCGAAUUGAUCAGAAACUAAAAUUACCAGCAGUCUCAUGACUCCGUAAUGACCGGUUUUGUCUCGUAAACCUUCUUCACUGGGUCCCAACGGUGCCGGGCCCUGAGAACGUCAUGCUCCUGCGGGACGGUGAAAUCCGCCAAGGGGUCUGGGAUGCCCAGACUCGCGGCUUCCGCGUCCUCCUUGGCCCAUUUGGACCUCUUUCCACCGUAACCACGGCUUCCGAGGUGGUGGCUCCCAAUGUUCCUCUCUUGAAGCCCCUUCAUGUACUUAGACUUUUUUUGGCAGCUUUAGCCUCGCAAGCCUCCUUGAAUAUUUGAAACUGCUCUUCCGUGAUUGUCGGAUUAUCGUUUACAAUCUCGGAGUAGGGUUCCUUCUUGUUGAUGAUCUUUGCUUUCACUCGAUUUUUCCAGGCGGCCAACGCGUCGCUAAACUUGGUCAUGGCGUGUUUGUUUAUCUUCUUCAUUGCCGGGUCCUCAUCUGGAUCUUCAUAAUCCUUCUCAUUCCGGCCCGGGAACAAGAAUAUCUGGUGAAAUUUCUUUAGGAGGGAGCUCCUCAUAUUUUCUAUCUUCUGUAGUUUCUCAUCGUUGAUGGUGGCGGUUGUCCGUAUGAUGCAGCCUAUUUGAUUGUCGUAGCAUCGACGCGCUUCCUCGGGCGCCUUUGGCUCAAAAUUGCCGUCGUCCACCUCCGUGACCACCAGUCUAGUAGUCCUGAGUUUCUUAGGAAGUCGUUGCCUCUUUGCUUUCGGUUCUACACCGGCUCCGCUCCCCGAGGCAGCGCCGGUCUCAGUCUCAGCGCCGGUCUCGAUGUCGGUCUGAGUCUCAGCGCCGGUCUCAGUCUCAGCACCGGUCUGCGUGUCGGUCUCAGUCCCCGAUGCCACCGGUUGAUCGUCGGCAAGGCUAAAAAAUUCGUCUGCCGCCCGGUAGACGUCGUUGCAAUCAACAGAACCCUGUCCUUCAUCGUUGCUAGCCAUGUUUCCUAUGAUUAAAUCUAGUCAAUUAAUUCUAGACCUAAUAAAAUGAAUAAUGACAUAAAAAAGGCCUAUUGUUUUGCAGGAAUGUUGACUCCUUCCUGGUGCGGCAAAUCCCGGACACUCGAUAUGUCCUAGUUUGUAGCGCAAGUCAUGCCGAAAUUCACGAAAAAUUUCGGCAUGACCUUUGCUAAAAAGUGGACAAAUCGAGGACCUGAAAUUUGCCGAAACAGAAAUGAAUCAACAUUCCGGCAAAACAUAGGCCACUCAGCAUCAUUCCCUGGAAACAACAAAGCCACUUGGGCACAAUCGAACAACUUCAAUGAAAAGAUAUAACAUGAGCAAACACUAUUGAGGAAUUUGCAUAUAACAUGGCCACUUCAAUGAAAAGAUAUAAUCAACAAUAAUGGAAUAUGCAAAUGAACAUCAAUGACAUAUAUCAUAUAAAAACAGUCUUGUUUUUUGUUUACAUAGCAACAAUUAGUUUGACCAAGUUUUCGAAAAGAAAAACAAUUCUGUUUUUUGUUUAUAGCUAAAUGCCAUAGCUACUGUUUUUCUAUAGCUAAAUACUUUUGUUUUUUGUCUAAAGCUAAAAGUCUAGGAACUCCAUUUUCUCUAACCAGUCUAACCUCACCAAAAUUUCCACAACAAGACCUUAGUUUAAAGCUAAAUGGAAUUACUGUUUAGGCAUUUUCAUAAAAAUUACCCUAGCUAAUUUCAUAAAAAAUUGCUAAUCAUUUUUCCUAAAUGCUACAAAAUGCCUACUGCCCUAAAAAAUCUAGGGUUCAUAUGAACACCUAGGGUUCAUAUGAGCAUCAACACAGUAUCAACAUAUAUACGAAUUGCCCUAGCAGAGAGAGAGAGGAGGGUAGGGGACAGGAGAGGCAGAGCCUUACGGACGGCGGCGAGGGCAGGCUCUGGCUCGGGUGGCGGCGGUGAGGUCGAGGGCGGCGGCGGUGAGCUCGAGGGAGGUGACGGUGAGGUCGACGAUGGCCUCGGGCGGCGGCUGUGAGGUCUAGGGCGGCCUCGGGCGGCGGCGGUGUGGUCGAAGGCGGCCUCGGGCGGUGGCGGUGUGGUCGAAGGCAGCAGGGUGAUGGCGGCGAUGGAGCAGUUGGGGGACAGGGGGGCGGGAGUAGAGAGGGGGGAAGGACUUAGCGAAAUUUUGAGCCCGGGCUGCCGGGAUUUGAGUCAAGCUAGCAGUAGCACGUUUUGCCGAAACGCGCUAUAGCUAAGAUAGCUAUAGCGUGUUCCAGAGAAACGUGCUACAACUAUUCCUUUUUGUUUUCUUUUUCUUUUUCUUUUUUUCUUUACAUUUUCUUUUUUUCAUUUCUCCUUUUUUUCUAUUUCUUUCAUUUUCAUUUACUUUUCUACUUAUUUUUCUAUUUAUUUUCUUUUUCAUAGCAGUACCGCUCUACAGCAUAAACGUGCUGCUACAAAGUUUUUAGCAGUAGCGUGCUUCUGGGUGAACCGCUACUACUAUUCCUAGCCUACCGGCAUUAGUGAGGGAAUUUUAGUAGUAGCGCUUUUCCGUGAAGACGCGCUACUGCUAAAACAAUGGUUGUAGCGUGGUUUUGCAACAAGCGCUACUACUAAGUAGCGCUAGCGUCGAGUUUUGACCAACGCUACUACUAUACCUCUGUGUAUAAGGCUUUCCCUAGUAGUGGGAGGGGCGCCCCACCUGUCCUUGUGGGCAAACCACCUCCCUGGCUGCUACCCCCUCUCCUUGGAGGAGAGGUCAGGGCUGGCCGGCCUCCUCAACCCCUAUAUAAAUAUAGGGAGGCGCAAGGGGAGGGGCUCACCCCUUUGCCUAGCUUCAACCCUCCCCAUCUCUCCCUUCUCCUCAUCCCGGUUUUGCUUGGCAAAGCCCUGCCGGUACUCCACCACCAUCAUCACCACUCCGCCGUUAUGCUGAUUGUCAUCCCAUCUACUUCUCCCCCCCCCCUUCAUUUGCUGGAACAAGGAGGAGAAGGCGUCAUCGAGCUGCACGUGUGCUAAACUCGAAGGUGUCAUCCGUUCGGCGCUAGAUCGGUAUGGAUCGUGAUUGGAUCGCUAAGAGUACGACUACAUCAACCACAUUAUAUACGCUUCCGCUUUUGGUCUACAAGGAUAAGUAGACACACUCCCCUUUAGUUGUUAUGCAUCUCCUAGAUUAGAUCUUGGGUGUUUUGUAGGAAAACAAUUGAUUUUCAUGCAAUGUUCCCCAUCAAAGUCUUGGCCUUCUCGAGCUCCUAUUUGAUCGUCGUCUCUUUGCUUCUCCAACUCGAUCUCCUUCCUCUCAAUUUCGAGCUUAUUCUCCGCCCUCUUUUCUCCUAAUCCAUCGUCUCCUUCUGCAUAUCCUUCUGCAUAUCCAACAUGAGUUUGUCCCUCUCCUCUUUCUUGUUCUCCCUCACCGAAAAAUGUCCGUCCAUGUGGAGGACAUUUUUGUUGCUGCGGCGUCACGGGAGUCCCUUGCCUUCUCCCACUUGUUCCCCAUGACUUGUCGGUUAUCCUUUGGCAUGGUGGCUCUUCCAUUCUCCACGACAACAUUUUCAUCUUCUUUGUCCAACCCAAUUGAUUAGUGGGAGCUUGAGCCAUCAUUCCUCUUCUUGUCGGCCUUGAGAUCGGCCACAAGUUGUGUCUACUUUGGUCGGCCAUUCAAUAUGAUCCAACAAUGGCUAAACACAAAUGGCUUCUUCUCCCUUUUGUGGUACAUAGUGGCCCCCGCUGUCGUCUAGCAAAAAAAUAUGUAUGAGCAUGAAUGCAAAACAAACAAGCAUAUGCAAAUGAUGACAAGAUGAAGUAGCUUACGUGAGAUGCUACUCCCAUCCCACUUUGAGGGCGGUCAGUCACUUGUGAGUAGUAGCCGGCGUACUUGUUCACUUCACCUUGAAUGAUCCCCCACCGAUGUUGGAGAUAUGUCACAUUGCGGUUGGUGACGAUAGGAUACGGCUCCACAUAUUCAUUUUUCUCACGAUAUUCCUUCUAAAUCUUCUCCCCAUACUUGUUUCCCUUUUGCUUGGUGCCGCAUAUUGGAUCCAUAGUGGUGGCCAACCAAGCUUUUACCAACAAGAUAUCUCAAAAAUUGAGAAUGCCUGACCUCUUGCCUUUCCUGUAUUUGGCUUCUUCUUCUUCUUCUUGCUCGGAUUGGGAAUUCAAGUUGUCCCAACUUCAAAUGAAUGGUCAAUUUGGAUCCCCCAAUUCAUACUCCAUUUGAGUCGGACCAUGAUUAUCAUUGAUCGUGUCCGACAUGAACAACUCCUAAAUGAUCAUGGUUUGCAAGCAUUCAUCAUGUACGAAAUAAACUAGUGGUCUAUGCAAAACAUUGAACAUGGCAUACGCAAAUUUGAUUGGAAAGGAGCUACAAAACACAUAAUGAGUCUUGUUGUGUCAUUCCGUCGAACAGGUUAUGGGCAGCACGGGCGUCGCUGGUGUCAGUGCUUGUCUGCACCCGAAGAAGCGGCGAGUGACACACGUCCACUGGCGACAUCUGCAUGGGCGGAAAGCUGACCUCAAUGCCCCAACUGGCCGUCAUACCGUCCUCUGUCCUAACCUAGUCUGGCAACACAGUCCUUGUCAACGGCAGGAUGGAUGGGGUGCGGGGUUCCGGGUGUGGCGGGGGGACAAUUGCUCGUCCAUGUUCACAUCCGCUCCCUGCGACGCCGUCGCACCGCUUCCCUCUCUUGCUGUCGGCGGCGCCGGUUCCUCCGGGUGAUGUUCUCCGGCUUGCACGACGAAGUCGAGGACUGGACGCCAACGGACAAGGCGGGCGCAGCCUCCGUCACGGCGAUCGGGGACGGGCUGGAUGACAUCUAGGGCGGCGUAUUAGGACCAGCGGUGAGGCUAGGGAGCAAGGUUGGCGGACGGCGAGGGCUCGGACGCGGGAAGGGGGAGGGUUUGAUGAAUUUGGUGCAAUUAGUGGUGGGGUAGUGUUGUCAGGUCCGACGUGGCGGAAGCUCCCAAACGCGCCCGGGCGUCCUAUAUUUUGGCUGGAUAUGAGGGGUGCCGAUAAGGCUGGGCACCUUUGUCAAGCUGGGUGAGCAUGCCGUGGUGAUGGCACAGUCCAAACAAGCCAUUCAUGCUGCGAGUUUUGCUUCUGAGACCACUGCAUAGCGAUCAUUUCUCUAAUUUAUAUGUACAAAUUUGAGUCAACUGUGGAAAAAUUCCGUACAGAUAUGUGUAUGUACCUAUUCAUUUUUUAUGACAAGAUCAGUUUUGUUUGUGUCAAAAAACGAGGUAAAAAAAAUUUCUAACUUAUACAUUUAGUCAGUUUCAAAGCUACAAACUGAAUAUAGAAUAUAUUCUAAGAUGCAGAUUGAAUGCUUUCAUUCCCUACAAACUAGAAACUACUCCCUGCGUUCCACAAUAUAAGAAACGAUCUUAUGUGGGACGAAGGGAAUACAAAAUUGGCCAUCAAAAUUAUCACCAAGUAGCCGAGAGAGUUAUUUUCUAAACACACCAAAUACGGGGUUAUACAUACUUACCAGAAAAUGCAUACAUGUUGGCUAUCCAAAUUCACCAAUAAACAAAAAAGAGGAGCAACAUAAUCACUGUAGCAAUGUCAUGCACUAUUUUCUUUUUGAAGUGACAAGCAAGCUUGCUAAAGAUGACAAGUAACUUGAGGUACAGCCUCAAAGCGUGUUUUCAUGGUUAAGCUUAGCAAUCUUAUCAUUUAUGCGUCUCUGAUGGCCAACGCAACUAUGACGAGCACAACGGAGCUCACCAUACCCAUCUAAGUAAAGUCUCACACAUGCAGACCAAGUAGCAGUGAAGGUACAGAGAAGGUUCACAAAUAAAGUCUCAAAGAUGCAGACCACGUAGCAACUAAAGUACAGAGAAGGUUCACAAAUAACGUCUCACACAGUCACACGUGCACACCAGGUAGUAGCAACUAAACCAGGUAGUAGCAACUAAGUACAGAGAAGCUUCACAUAUAAAGUCUCACACAUGCAGACCAAGUAGCAACUAAGUACAGAGAAGCUUCACAUAUAAAGUCUCACACAUGCAGACCAAGUAGCGACUAAGGUACAGAGAAGGUUCACAAAUAAAGUCCACAUGCAGACCAAGUAGCAACUAAGGUACAUAGAAGGUUCACAAAUGAAGUCUCACACAUGCAGACCAAGUAGCACCUAAGGUACAGAAGAAGGUUCACAAAUAAAGUUCCACCAAUACAGAGCACCAACAAAAAUAACCAUCACUCUGACUCAUUCCCUUUGGCAGGUGGUGCAGCAACCCUCGCCAUUCUUCGCAUAAAAGAUGGUGCCCUCAGAAAGAGUACGUAGAACAAAGCACAGACGAUAAGAAGCUGCAUCUUUCCAGAUUUUAAAGCGGCUCCAACCAAAACAAGAUAAAGCUUAUCUGUCACGAUAAACUUAAGCUUGGUGAAACGCGACUUUAGCGAGUCACUAGC